RNAcentral lists this long non-coding RNA (70551 nucleotides) under Triticum aestivum (bread wheat). RNAcentral's name for it is "long non-coding RNA (TAES_LNC002132)". The record is from RNAcentral. Lineage: Eukaryota; Viridiplantae; Streptophyta; Magnoliopsida; Poales; Poaceae.
GUGGCUAAUGCUUAGUUGUAUGAAUGAGUCUAGGUAUUUGAUAUAUCGGCUGCCUCUAGUGCUAAUCAUUAUGGUCACCUGUUAGCUCUUGGUAUGGGGUAACUGUGAGGGUAUAUUAUCUAUUUUUGAAAUUGGUUGGAUUUUCACCUCUUUAUUUUCCGUUUAAGAUUGGAGAUGCUUAUCUCUUGUUGCAACUUGCAAGUACAUUUAUCUUUUAUGGACAACUUGUUACCCUUCAGUUCUGAAUAUUGAUAUCGCCUUGUUCUUAUGCACAUGUUAAAGACUGGAGAUGCCUAUCUCUUGUACGUUUAUUAUUCUUCCAUUUUAUUUCACUUCAUUAGGGGAAGAGGAUUUUUCGAGGGGAGGAGAAUAACAUGACCCUCUCUGUGUGACCAUUCUCCUAUUUGAAUUCUGACUAUGCUGUCUGACUAAAUCUAUUUUUGAGCAUCUUGCGAUUUUGUUUACUGUGAUGUUAGUUUACAGAUUUUUCUCAUCUUUUUCCAAAAUUGUGCAGUGAGUUCCUAAACAUGCAAAUUGAAUUAUUUGCAUAUUGUCUGAGAUUAUAACUGUUUGUCCAAGAAGACGACAUUUUCCUUCAGUGAAAUGUGAUCACCAAAGGUUUUGAUCAGUCAAGGCAUGCAUUUUCCCAUCAUAAACCUGAGCAUUGCGAUUGUCAAGUCUUGGUUCCAGCGACAGUUUUCUUUACCUGUAUAUAUAAGCGUGAGCCUGAGAGACUAUCUAGAGGAUGGCCACUGACAGAGAAAAUAAGCCAAGAACUAUAUAGUCACCAAGGUGUCUCUUUCUUGUUUUCAAGCCCAAAACGCCGUUGCAUCCCGAACUCCCGGUUCCUUCCAAUCAGAUACCAGUGAGGAUUACAACAUGGAAAGCCUCUAAGUAUUGUCCAUAAUUAAGCGGAAACUAUAUCUUUCUUUGGCAGAGAAAUAACAGAGUAGUAUUGAUCCAGUUAACAAACAUCAAAACAUAGAUGAAACUAUUUUGACAUCUCCUAAUAAGGAAUUAAAGAGCAGGGGCGCCUUGCUUUACUAACCGGAAGCAUUCUAAGGAAACAAAAUAACCAGAGCCAAUUGCCUGGUAAGCCUGGAGAAAUGCACUGGACUACCAAGGCAAAAUAAAUAAACAAAGUGAUGCCACUUUUGCAUCUCCUCCAUAUAAAGCAAGCACAUAGGCAUUCAUAAAACAACAGAACCACCUGAUACUGUCACAAAGUCUGGAAACCAGGCAAGUACCCAUUGCAACUAAAAUAUCUACUAAUGUUAAAGAUCUACUAGAAACCAUGAACUGUUACCAUUGCCAAAAUACUAGGCAUCACUCUGCCGAGGGCAUGGCAAUCAGCUUCAUCACAACAAAAGGGCAGCUCACAUACACAUGCUGGAAGCUGUCAGUGGCCACAACUGCCCUCCAGUUUGCAGGGGAGCUGAGGAAAUCAAAGCAUGCCUUCUUCAGCCCAACACAGUGGUGCUGAUCAGCGAGAGCCAGGAUGGUUGCAACUAUGCCCACAUCGAUGUACUCACAUAGCUUUUCCUCGCAAACCAGCUUCAGCCUCUCCAUGUUAUACCUGUCUGCCGCGACAAGUAGAUGCUGGAACACGGUAUCUUCAUCUUCUUCUUUUGUCUCUAGUAACUUGUCGGUGUAGGCGAAAUAGAGCAAUGCAUUUGAACACGGUAUCCACAUCGAUGUACUCACAUAGCUUUCCAAAACUGAUGAUAUUCUUUGAAAUACGGGAACAUUUUUGAAAAAAAUUGAUGACUUUUUUUGAAUUUGUGAUUUUUUUUAAUUGAUGAACUUUUUUCAAAUUUUAUUAUUUUUUUGUGAAAAUAGUGAAUGUUUCUAAUCGACGAACUUUUUUUCUAAAAUUGAUGAACUUUAUUUUUCAAAUUGAUGAUUUUUUUUUGAAAUUCGUGAACUGUUCUUUCAAGUCAAUGAACGUUCUUCAAAAGACCAGUUAUUUUUAGAAAUUCGUGAGUUUUUUCAAAAUCAUUGAACUCUAUUCAGAUUUGUGACAAUUUUUUCAAAUUCGAUCAUUUUUUUUGAAUUUUCAAAAUCCUUUUGAAUUUAAGAAUUUUUUUAACAUUUUGUGAACUUUUUUAUAAAAGUUAAUAGCCAAACAACAUGGUCAGUUGUGCAUGAUUACGGUGAACAGUCAACUACUACUUGUUCUGUCAAAAAACAUUUUACACUAUGAAACGGAGGGAGUGGCUACCUUUUCUUUUAGAAAUGGCAACUAGCGACUUUUUUUCUUUGAGGUGUGGCAACUAGCGACAUGGGAUUUAGCAAAGAGCGACCCGAGCGAGUGAGAGGAGUAACGAUGGAGCGCUCAUGCUUAAUGGGCCGGAUCAAUCAACUUUCUAUGUGGGCGCCGGAACCACGAAUCGGCGCUGAAGGCACCAUUAGAUGAGAUCAUUAAUUGAGAAGUACUGCUUUCAAGGAUCAUUUUCACCUCGCCAGGUUGCGAAAUAUGAUUUUUUUUCUUUUUAUAUGGAUUAGUUUAUUCAGAAUGUUUUAUCUCUUAAAUCAUACAUCCAAAUCUUGAACCGUUUUUACCGUUGGAUUCCUUGUAUCCAGACCUUCAAAACUAGAUCCAUGUUGAUAGGUUUUGUUGAACUUUUUUUUUCAUGAAAGAACCGGAUAAAAAACCAGAUGAAAAAAACCAAACUGAAAACACGCUUUUUUCCCUUUCUGAAAGCCUUUUCCUAGAGACACGGGCGGAAGCAAAAACCGUGCCUCUCACGGAAGAAAAAAAACAAUAGAAAACAUGUUUUUUCCGUUUUUGAGAGGCACGGCCAUGCCUCUCGCGGAAGCAAAACCGUGCCUCCUACAGAAGCAAAAUCGUACAUCUCACGGCAGGAAAAAAACAUGUUUUUUUGCCGAGAGGCACGAGCAUGCCUCUCGCGGAAGCAAAAUCAUGCCUUUACGGAAGAAAAAAAAUAGAAAACAUAUUUUUCCAUUUCCAAGACGUAUGGUCGUGCCUCUCACGAAAGCAAAUCCAUGCCUCUCGCGGAAGCAAAACCAUGCAUCUCGCGGAAGCAAAAGGAAAAAAAAAGAAAACCAUGUUUUUUUUCAUUUUCGAGAGGCCGUGCCUCUCGCGAAAGCAAAUUCACGCCUCUCGUAGAAGCAAAAAAAAUGUGUUUUUCUUGCGAAAAGUAAUUUUUUUUCCAUUUUUUCGCCCAAGAGCUUAGAAAGGGCGGUGGAAGACCCAAAAGCCAAAAAACAGAAGAAAGCCGUCCAAAAAGUCAAAAACGAGUGCGAAAAUAUAUUAAAUAUGCGAGGGAGUGUCUAGAGCGCGACACUUGAUGACGGCUAAGAGCGUGCAAAGUGACGCGCUCUUAGCCCACCCCAAGUGAUCGUUGGGAUGCUCCACAAGGAGCGCUUGUCUGCUCUCCCCAUUGGAACCUCGUUCGAAUCCCACACACUACUAUUUUUGAUGUUUCUAGAAUGCAAAAAAAAUGGGCCAAGCCCAGGGCGGAGUUUGUGCGCGAGUUUGCCGAAGAAACAUGCGCUUCCCCCAAAAAACCCCAAAGAAACGGGCGCUUAAGGCACCCGAUAGGAAAUGUUGCCCUUUUUUGGUUUACUAGAACAAUGCCCGUGCUGCAACGAAAAAUUAGUAUUUUAGUACAUUAGUUUGUGUUUUACCUGUCAAUAAUAAUGCGAUUGUACAAAUAAAUGUUUAUUAAAUUCUGACCGUGAAUUAUCUUUUAUUUUGAUUAGAAGUUUGGUAAGUAAAUUAAAGUGAAAUUUGUUCAGAAGGUAAGUAAUUAAGAUUAUUAAUUAUCAUAUACAUGGAAGAUUGGACGAAGGGAUGGUGGAAAGAAACAUGAAAUGUCAACUUUACGUUCUUAAGUACUUAACUAGAACGGUACCCGUGCGUUGCAACGGAAUAUAAAUGUUGUAGUACGUUAGCUUGUGAUUUACCUGUUAAUAAUAAUAAGAUUGUGUAAAUAAAUGUUCAUCAAAUUCUGACCGUAAAUUACCUUUUAUAUUGAUUAGAAGUUUGGUAAGUAAAUUAAAGUAAAAUUGGUUCAGAAGGUAAGUCAAUAAAGGUAAUUGAUUAUCAUAUACAUGAAAGGUUGGACAAAUGGGUGGUGAAAAGACAGGUGAAAUGGGAACCUUACUUUUUUUGAAGGGAAGGCCAUCAUGGCUAGCUUUAUUGAUUAAAAGAAGGAAUAACAUCAUCCACAAGUACGGAAACGAGACAGUCCGAGAGCUCGUCUGUCCAACUAGAAGAAAACUGAUUACAGUAACUAAACUUAGCUAGCACAUGCGCUGCUUGGUUAGAAGAGCGUGAACAUUGUAAAACUGACCUUCCCGAUCAACGAAGAUAGAUCCACACAUUCGGCGAAAGUUGCUGCUGCUUCAUUCCACCAUGUCGUUUGACCCGCACAUGAUUCAAUCACAAUUGAGGAAUCCGAUUCUGCUUCAACCCGAGGAAAGCCCAAGGAAUUUGCAAAGGCUAAACCAUCUUUCAUUGCCCUUGCCUCGGUGGAAACUACACUAGCUUCAUGGGGAAUGAAAAUGCAUUUUGCCGCCAAGAAAAUUCCCUUCUCAUCCCUAAUCACUGCAGCUGUCGCGCCCACACCUUCAUCUAUAUAGUAAGCUGCAUCCACAUUCAACUUAAUGAAUUUGAUAUCUGGUCUGGCCCAUCUCUCCUCAGGAAUACUCCUUCUCUUCUCAUUAGCCUGGUGAAAAUUAUUGGUAAUAGCAAGAACCGAUAGAGGCCAUUUAAAUAUCGGUGGAGGUGUACCAUUAUGGGUAUAUUGCCGACGGAUCCACCAUAGAUACCAACUUCCCACCGCUAAAACUUGUUUGAUGUCCAGAUUUGGUUUCAAUGGCAGUGGUCUCGGAUCAGCUAAGAAAAGAUUUUCAAGGACGACUGAACCAGAUCGGUCUAGUGCCAUUGCCUCCUUAACAAUAUCCAUGAUGCCCAAUCGAUUCCAGAGUUCUCUUGCAUGAAAGCAAUCGAAGAUUAGAUGCUUAAUAUCCUCAGCUUCUCUAUGGCAGAUAGGGCAUAAACCUACUGACCCGAUGUGUCUAUUAGUGAGUAUUGACUUUAGCGGCAGGAUUCCAUGAAGAGUUCUCCAACAAAAGAUCUAAAUUUUACGUGGCAUCGGUAGCUUCCAUAAGAUACUCCAUACUGCCGGGGCGCACGAUCUGCCCGGCUAUGCCAGGGCAGUUGCAUGGGGCCCAAAAGAUUGAAUCCAUUGAACUUUGUAUGAUGUUCGGAUAGAAAAACUCCCUCGUCGAUCUGGUUGCCAUGCAAUAAAAUCCUCAAAGGAGUUGGUGUUCAACGGUAUUUGCAGAACCAUGUUAACAUCAACCGGACUAAGAUUUGAAUGGAGGAUAUCUUCAUCGCAGGUGCCAGAAAUUGGAUCGAUGAGCUCCGCAACAGAAGUAAGGAUGGAUUGACCUUGUAUAGAUAUCACCUUUCUAUCCGGACUGGCAAGGAUCCAUGGGUCAGACCAAAUGCUUACAUUUUCACCUGUGCCAAUUCUCCAAAUAUAUCCCAAUUUGAAAGUCUCUAGGCCCUUCAUGAUGCUCUACCAAGUAAAAGAUGAACCAUUUUUUAAAGUGGCUUGUAGAAGGGUACAAUUUGGAUAGUAUUUUGCUUUCAAAAUUCUAGCACACAAUGAAUCCGGUUGAGUGAUCAGUCUCCAACAUUGUUUUGAUAACAUUGCCAGGUUGAAGGAGUAUAGGUCUCUAAAGCCCAUCUCACCAUCACUUUUAGGGCAGCAAAGUUUCCACCAAGAAAACCAAUGCAUUCUUUUGUGUUCCUUAUCAUCUCCCCACCAAUAUUGGGAUAUUAAAUCUAUGAUCUCUUUGCAAAUUCCCUUAGGUAUACUGAACACAAACAUGGCAAAUACUGGGAUGGCUUGUGCCGUCGCCUUAAUAAGGAUUUCCUUGCCACCAAUUGAGAGGAUCUUUUCCAUCCACCCUUUGAGCCUCUCUCUGAUUCUUUCAACAAAGUGUUUAAAACAGUCACUCCUGUCUGCUCCCACCAUAGCAGGCAACCCAAGAUAUUUAUCAGAGAGUGCUUCUGUAUCAAUAUUCAGUUCUUGGCAAAUUUCAGCUCUUGAAGCUGCAGGAGUAUUAGGACUAAAACACACACUAGAUUUUGAUAAACUCACCAACUGUCCCGAACUUUGGCAGUAGGUUUCCAGAACAUGUUGUAAGGAAGCUGCAUUUAAAACAUCUGCGGUCAUAAGAAUUAGAGAAUCGUCAGCAAAAAGUAGGUGUGAUACUGAUGGUGCAUUUCUGCACACUCUAACUGCUUCUAUGCCACCAACUUCUUCUUCAUACUUCAAUAAACUGGAAAGGCCUUCUGCACAAAGAAGGAAAAGAUAUGGGGAGAGGGGAUCCCCUUGCCUUAUACCUGAUGACCCACAAGUGUAGGGGAUCUAUCGUAGUCCUUUCGAUAAGUAAGAGUGUCGAACCCAACGAGGAGCAGAAGAAAAUGAUAAGCGGUUUUCAGUAAGGUUUUCUCUACAAGCACUGAAAUUGUAGGUAACAGAUAGUUUUGUGAUAAGAUAAAUUGUAACGGGUAACAAGCAAUGAAAGUAAAUAAAGUGUAGCAAGGUGGCCCAAUCCCUUUUGUAGCAAAGGAUAAGCCUGGACAAUUUCUUAUAAUGAGAAAAGAGCUCCCGAGGACACAUGGGAAUUAUUGUCAAGCUAGUUUUCAUCACGCUCAUAUGAUUCGCGUUCGAUACUUUGAUAAUUUGAUAUGUGGGUGGACCGGUGCUUGGGUACUGCCCUUACUUGGACAAGCAUCCCACUUAUGAUUAACCCCUAUUGCAAGCAUCCGCAACUACAAAAGAAGUAUUAAGGUAAACCUAACCACAUCAUUAAACAUAUGGAUCCAAAUCAACCCCUUACGAAGCAACGCAUAAACUAGGGUUUAAGCUUCUGUCACUCUAGCAACCCAUCAUCUACUUAUUACUUUCCAAUGCCUUCCUCUAGGCCCAAAUAAUGGUGAAGUGUCAUGUAGUCGACGUUCACAUAACACCACUAGAGGAAAGACAACAUACAUCUCAUCAAAAUAUCGAACGAAUACCUAAUAGCAAGACUUCACCCAUGUCCUCAGGAACAAACGUAACUACUCACAAAGCAUAUUCAUGUUCAUAAUCAAAGGAGUAAUAAUAUGCAUUAAGGAUCUGAACAUAUGAUCUUCCACCAAGUAAAUCAAUUAGCAUCAACUACAAGGAGUAAUCAACACUACUAGCAACCCACAGGUACCAAUUUGUGGUUUGGAUACAAGAUUGGAUACAAGAGAUGAACUAGGGUUUUGAUAGGAGAUGGUGCUGGUGAAGAUGUUGAUGGAGAUUGACCCCCUCCCGAUGAGAGGAUCGUUGGUGAUGAUGAUGGUGAUGAUUUCCCCCUCCCGGAGGGAAGUGUCCCCGGUAGAACAGCUCUGCCGGAGCUCUAGAUUGGUUCCGCCAAGGUUCCGCCUCAUGGCGGCGGAGUUUCGUCCAGUAAGCUUGCCCACGAUUUUUUCCAGGGUAAAAGCCUUCAUAUAGUAGAAGAUGGACACCGAAGGGCCACCAGGGGGCCCAGGAGACAGGGGCGUGCCCUAUAGGGGUGGGGGCGCCCCCCACCCUCCUGGCCAGGGUGUGGGCCCCCUCAGGUGUUUCUUCCGUUCAAUAAUUCUUAUUAAUUCCAAAAAUAAGUUCCGUGGAGUUUCAGGAUUUUUGGAGCAGUGCAGAAUAGGUUUCCAAUGUUUGCUCCUUUCCAGCCAGAAUUCCAGCUGCCGACAUUCCCCCUCUUCAUGGUAAACCUUGUAAAAUAAGAAAGAAUAGCCAUAAAUAUUGAGAUAUAAUGUGUAAUAACAGCCCAUAAUGCAAUAAAUAUUGAUAUAAAAGCAUGAUGCAAAAUGGAUGUAUCAACUCACUACUAGAAAAACCUCUACUAAUGGCGCACCUAUUAUGGCCAUUAAUGGCGCAUCUGUGGUGCGCCACUAACAGCACGCCAUUAGUAAUUUUUACUAAUGGCGCACCAGUGGUGCGCCAUUAGUAUCUGGUAUACUAAUGGCGCACCACUNNNNNNNNNNNNNNNNNNNNNNNNNNNNNNNNNNNNNNNNNNNNNNNNNNNNNNNNNNNNNNNNNNNNNNNNNNNNNNNNNNNNNNNNNNNNNNNNNNNNNNNNNNNNNNNNNNNNNNNNNNNNNNNNNNNNNNNNNNNNNNNNNNNNNNNNNNNNNNNNNNNNNNNNNNNNNNNNNNNNNNNNNNNNNNNNNNNNNNNNNNNNNNNNNNNNNNNNNNNNNNNNNNNNNNNNNNNNNNNNNNNNNNNNNNNNNNNNNNNNNNNNNNNNNNNNNNNNNNNNNNNNNNNNNNNNNNNNNNNNNNNNNNNNNNNNNNNNNNNNNNNNNNNNNNNNNNNNNNNNNNNNNNNNNNNNNNNNNNNNNNNNNNNNNNNNNNNNNNNNNNNNNNNNNNNNNNNNNNNNNNNNNNNNNNNNNNNNNNNNNNNNNNNNNNNNNNNNNNNNNNNNNNNNNNNNNNNNNNNNNNNNNNNNNNNNNNNNNNNNNNNNNNNNNNNNNNNNNNNNNNNNNNNNNNNNNNNNNNNNNNNNNNNNNNNNNNNNNNNNNNNNNNNNNNNNNNNNNNNNNNNNNNNNNNNNNNNNNNNNNNNNNNNNNNNNNNNNNNNNNNCCAUGAGGGGAGGGGAGGGGAGGGGAGGAGGGAGGAGGUAGGAGGAGGUCGCCGCAGAGGAGGAGAGAAGUGAAGAUGAAAUGAAGAGAGGAGGAGAGGACCAGCCAUAUAUACGGCAUACUAAUGGCGCACCACGGGCAGGUGCGCCAUUAGUAAUUUUUUUUAUUUUUUUGAUUUAUUUUGAAUUUUGAAGGCGGGAAGAUACUAAUGGCGCACCACGGUCAGGUGCGCCAUUAGUAAUGUUUUUUAUUUUUUUGAUUUAUUUUGAAUUUUGAAGGCGGGAAGAUACUAAUGGCGCACCAUGGUCAGGUGCGCCAUUAGUAAUUUUUUUUUAUUUUUUUGACUUAUUCUGAAUUUUGAAGGAGGGAAGAUACUAAUGGCGCACCGUAGGCAGGGUGCGCCAUUAGUAGUUUCAACACUAAUGGCGCAUCAGAAGGUGGUGCGCCAUUAGUAUAUACUAAUGGCGCACCACAUGUCUGGUGCGCCAUUAGUGUCAUUUCCAUCUAUAGCCCUUUUCCUAGUAGUGACUCCCCCAAGCUAAGACCUCGCUUGUUCUCAAGCGGAAGCCGAUAUCGAGAAAUAGGUCCACAUGUUUAGAGAUAGAGGUGUCGAUAAAAAUAAAAUACGGACAUGAGGGCAUCAUGAUCAUUCUUAUAACAGCAACAUAAAUAGAUUUUAUCAUAUGAUUUCUUAUGCUCAAGUAACGAUCAAUUCACAAUGUCAAGCAUGGUUCAGAAACUUCAUUGGGAGCUAGCAAACUGUAAUCUCAGUCAUUGAAGCAAUUGCAAUUUAACAUAACAUCAGAAAGAGUCAAGAAUAGAGCUUUUCAGCAAGUCCACACACUCAACUAUCAUGUAGCCUUCUACAAUUGCUAACACUCACGCGGUAUUUGUGGUUAUAGAGUUUCAACCGGACACUGAGAAAGAUAGGGGCUUAUUGUGUUGCCUCCCAAUUAUUUACCUUUAGGUGAUGUCAACAAUAAUAAUCCAUGCUAACUUACAUCCAAUUGGAUAUAUAUAUCAUGAUCUUUCAAACACGAGGAACUUGCCAAAGGAUAAAAUGAAAAAGGGAAAGGUGAAGAUCGCCUUGACUCAAGCAUAAAGUAAAAAAUAUAAAGUAAAAGAUAGGCCCUUCGCAAAGGGAAGCAGAGGUUGUCAUGUGCUUUUAGGGUUGGAUGCAUGAAAUCUUAAUGCAAAAUAACAUCACUUUAUAUUGCCACUUGUAUGUGGACCUUUAUUAUGCAGUCCGUCGCUUUUAUUGCUUCCACAACAAGAUCAUAUAAAGCUUAUUUUCUCUGCACUACUAAGUCAUACAUAUUUAGAGGGCAAUUUUUUUAUUGCCUGCAACAUGACAACUUACUUGAAGGAUCUUACUCAAUCCAUAGGUAGGUAUGGUGGACUCUCAUGGCAAAACUUGGUUUAAGGAUAUUUGGAAGCACAAGUAGUAUCUCUACUUGGUGCAAGGAAUUUGGCUAGCAUGAGGGGGAAAGGCAAGCUCAACAUGUUUGGAAGGUCAAUGACAAUAUACUUUAACUGAGAUGUGAGAAAACAUAAACCAUUACAUUGUCUUCCUUGUCCAACAUCAACUCUUUUAACAUGUCAUACUUAAUGAGUGCUUCACAAUCAUAAAAGAUGUCCAAGAUAAUAUAUUUGUAUGUGAAACCUCUCUUUCCUUAUUACUUCCUAUUAAUUGCAACGAUGACCAAAACUACGUUUAUCAACUCUCAACAACUUUUAUGCCUCAUACUUUCUAUGUGUGAAGUCAUUACUAUCCAUAAGAUCAAUAUGAACUCUUUUAUUCUUUCUACUUUCUCAAGAUCAUAGCAAGAUAGCAAAGCCCUUGACUCAACACUAAUCUUUAUUAUAGAUAGCUCACGGACUCGAAUACAUAAAGAGAUCACAAAGCAAAACUCAAAACUACUUGAUACUAAAACUUCAAUCUACUAGAUCAAGAUACUACUAAAAGGAUCGAACUAAAUAAAACAGUAAAGAUAAGAGUGUGAUGGUGAUACGAUAUCGGGGAACCUCCCCCAAGCUUGGCAAUUGCCAAGGGGAGUGCCCAUACCCAUGUAAUUCUGUCCUCGGAGGUGGUGAAGUAGGAGUUGUUGAUGAUGUAGGCUUGUCGUCCAUCUUCCAAGGCAUAGGCUCACCAUCAUAGAAGGAUGAUCAAGUCUAUGGGAUCCUUAAAUCUGCAGCCAAACUCAUCCUCUUGAAUCUAUAUUCAUACUCACAGUUCUGGUUUUGCAGGUCAUAGAUCUGGGCUUGGAGGUGCUCGAUUUUCUCUUGAAGCUUGAAGAUGGUUUCCCCAAUGACUUUGGCAUCUAGCUUGUGGUUGUUGGUGAACUCUGUGAUCCUCAUCUGGUUGGCGUUGAGUCCACGCUCCACCAUCCCUUGGCACUUCAAGACUUGCUUCUCCACGGCUUCGAGCUUUGUCUCCACGUUUCCGGUACGCCUUGGUCCCUCCACAUCGAGAAUGUGCAGCACCCCCUCACGCAUGUCAAUGGUUUGAGGGUGUUGCAGCACCUCCGCGAGAUAGGGGUUGAUAACCCUCUCAAAAAACUUGUCCUUGGGAGCGCUUGGAGAUGCCAUGACGCUCUAGAUCUGUAACAGAAAACAACUCGAACAAAAACAGAGGAUAUUUGCGUGAUACGGUGGUCAAAACCUUCGGGAGUUUAUAUAAUGAAUUUUUACCGACCAAAAUACGUAACGUGCAAGAAAACGGAGUCCGGGAGGCACACGAGGUGGCCACGAGACAGGGGGGCGUGCCCUCCACCGUCGUGGAAGCUUCAUGUCCUUCCCGUACUACUUAUUUCUUCCUAAAAUUCUUAAAUAUUCCAAAACUGAUAAAAAUUGCCAUUAGAAUUUUUUUGGAGUCGAUUUACUUACCGUACCACAUACCUAUUCCUUUUCGGAGUCUGGAACAUUCUGGAAAUUGUCCCUUAUGUAUUCCUCUGGGGUUAUGGUUUCAAUAAUAUUAGUUUCAACAUUGAUAGGAUUACCUGAGAUAUAAUGUUUAAUCCUUUGACCGUUCACCACCCUGGGACUUGUGCCUUCGAAGUUGUUGAUUUUUAUGGCACCCGAACGAUAGACCUCCUCGAUAACGUAAGGACCUUACCAUUUAGAGAGAAGUUUUCCUGCAAAAACUCUUAAAGGAGAGUUGAAUAAUAACACAUAAUCACCUACGUUAAACUCACGCUUUUGUAUCCUUUUGCCAUGCCAGCGUUUGACUUUUUCUUUGAAUAGCUUGGCAUUCUCAUAGGCUUGGGUUCUCCAUUCAUCAAGUGAGCUAAUAUCAAACAACCUCUUCUCACCGGCAAGUUUGAAGUCAUAGUUGAGCUCUUUGAUAGCCCAAUAUGCUUUAUGUUCAAGUUCUAGAGGUAAAUGACAAGCUUUUCCAUAAACCAUCUUAUAUGGAGACAUGCCCAUAGGAUUUUUGUAUGCAGUUCUAUAGGCCCAUAAUGCAUCAUCAAUUUUUUUGGACCAAUUCUUUCUAGAUCUAUUCACAGUCUUUUGCAAAAAUAAUUUGAGCUCUCUAUUGCUCAACUCUACUUGACCACUAGACUGCGGGUGAUAAGGAGAUGUGAUUCUAUGAUUAACAUCAUACUUAGCAAGCAUCUUAGAGAAAGCACCAUGAAUAAAAUGUGAACCACCAUCAAUCAUAAGAUAUCUAGAGACUCCAAACCUCAGAAAAAUAACUUCUUUAAGCAUUUUAAUAGAAGUGUUAUGAUCAACACUACUAGUUGGAAUAGCUUCUACCCACUUAGUAACGUAAUCAACAUCAUCUAAAAUAUGUGUAUAACCAUUAGAGGCAGGAAAAGGUCCCAUAUAAUCAAAGCCCCAAACAUCAAACGGUUCAAUAACAAGGGAGUAAUUCAUAGGCAUUUCUUGAUGUCUACUAAUAUUACCAAUUCUUUGACAUUCAUCACAAGACAAGACAAACUUACGAGCAUCUUUGAAGAGAGUAGGCCAAUAAAAACCAGAUUGCAAUACCUUAUGUGCAGUUCUAUCUCCAGCGUGGUGUCCUCCAUAUGAUUCAGAGUGACACUUCCAUAGGAUCUGUUCCUGUUCAUGCUUAGGUACACAACGUCUAAUAACACCAUCUACUCCUUCUUUAUAAAGGUGUGGGUCAUCCCAGAAGUAAUGUCUUAAAUCAUAAAAGAACCUUUUCUUUUGCUGGUAUGUGAAACUAGGUGGUAUAAAUUUAGCAACAAUAUAAUUAGCAUAAUCAGCAUACCAAGGAGCAGUAUGAGAAGCAUUAAAGACCACUAAUUGUUCAUCAGGAAAGCUAUCAUCAAUAGGCAGUGGGUCAUCAAGAACAUUCUCUAACCUAGACAAGUUGUCUGCAACGGGGUUCUCAGCUCCCUUUCUAUCAAUAAUAUGCAAAUCAAAUUCUUGGAGCAAGAGAACCCAUCUAAUAAGUCUAGGCUUAGAAUCUUUCUUUUCCAUAAGAUAUUUAAUAGCAGCAUGAUCAGUGUGAAUAGUAACUUUGGAAUCAACAAUAUAAGGUCUAAACUUAUCACAUGCAAACACAACUGCUAAGAAUUCUUUUUCAUUAGUAGCAUAGUUUCUCUGGGCAGUAUCAAGAGUCUUACUAGCAUACUGGAUAACAUUCAAUUUCUUAUCAACUCUUUGCCCUAGAACAACACCUACAGCAUAAUCACUAGCAUCACACAUAAUUUCAAAAGGUAAAUUCCAAUCAGGUGGCUGAACAAUAGGUGCAGUGAUCAAAGCUUUCUUAAGUAUUUCAAAUGCUUCUACACAAUCAUCAUCAAAGACAAAAGGAAUAUCUUUUUGCAAUAAAUUAGUCAGAGGCCUAGAGAUUUUAGAGAAGUCCUUAAUGAACCUCCUAUAAAAACCGGCAUGACCAAGGAAACUUCUUAUACCUUUAGUUCCUUUGGACAUGGCAUCUUUUCAAUAGCAUCAACUUUAGCUCUAUCAACUUCAAUAGCUCUCUCGGAGAUUUUGUGCCCCAAGACAAUGCCUUCAUUAACCAUAAAGUGACACUUUUCACAAUUCAAGACGAGACUAGUGUCUUCGCAUCUCUGCAAAACUCGAUCAAGGUUGCUCAAGCAAUCAUCAAAAGAGGAUCCAUAAACGGAGAAGUCAUCCAUGAAUACCUCACAAAUCUUUUCACAAAAGUCAGAGAAUACAUCCAUCAUGCAUCUUUGAAAGGUAGCAGGUGCAUUACAUAAACCAAAAUGCAUACGUCUAUAAGCAAAAGUACCGAAAGGGCAAGUAAAAGUAGUUUUUGAUUGAUCCCCCGUUGAGACAGGUAUUUGAGAGAAACCAGAAUAACCAUCUAGAAAGCAGAAAUGUGUGUGUUUGGAUAGUCUUUCUAGCACUUGAUCAAUAAAAGGUAAAGGGUAAUGAUCCUUCUUAGUAGCUUUAUUUAAUUUACGGAAAUCAAUUACCAUCCUAUAACCUAUAAUAGUUCUUUGCGGGAUCAAUUCAUGUUUAUCAUUAGGAACGACAGUAAUACCUCCCUUUUUGGGAACACAAUGGACAGGGCUUACCCAAUCACUAUCAGCAACGGGAUAAAUUAUACCUGCCUCAAGGAGCUUUAGUAUCUCCUUUCUUACCACUUCUUUUAUUUUGGGAUUCAAUCGUCGUUGAGGAUCUCUAACUGGUUUGGCAUCGUCCUCCAAAUUAAUUUUGUGUUGGCAUAACGUAGGACUAAUGCCCUUAAGAUCAUCCAGAGUAUAUCCAAUAGCAGCGCGGUGCUUCUUCAGAGUUUUCAAUAUUCUUCUUGCUCUGAAAGGUUAGCACUAAUAAUAACAUGAUAUAUUUUCUUUUCAUCAAGAUAAGCAUACUUGAGAUUAUCAGGUAAUGGUUUGAGUUCAAACACGGGAUCACCCUUGGGUGGAGGGGGGUCCCCUAGAAUUUCAACGAGAAGGUUUUAUUUCAGAAUAGGUUCCUGUUGAAGGAACACUUUAUCUAUUUCCCUUCUUUCCUUCAUAAACAUAUCGUUUUCAUGGUCUAGCAAAUAUUGUUCUAACGGAUCAGUAGGAGGCACGACAAUAGAAGCAAGACCAAUAAUCUCAUCCUUACUAGGUGAUUCUCUAUCACGAGGUUGUCUAUGAAACUUAGCAAAAUUAAACUCAUGAGACAUACCUGAUACGUCUCCAACGUAUUUAUAAUUUAUGAAGCAUUCAUGCUAUUUUAUUAUCUAUUUUGAAUGAUUAUGGGCUUUAUUAUACACUUUUAUAUUACUUUUGGGACUAACCUACUAACCGGAGGCCCAGCCCAUAUUGCUGUUUUAUUGCCUGUUUUAGUAUUUCGAAGAAAAGGAAUAUCAAACAGAGUCCAAACGGAAUGAAACCUUCGGCAACGUGAUUUUUUGGAAGAUUAUCAUCCUGGAAGCUUGGAGAUCAAGCCAGAAGAUCCUCGAGGAGCCCAGGAGAUAGGGGGCGCGCCCCCUGUCUCAUGGACCCCUCGAGCACCCCCCGACCAACUUCUUUCGCCUAUAUAACCCUACGUACCCUAAAACUAUCGAAAAUCAAGAUAUAUCGGGAGUUCCGCCACCGCAAGCCUCUGUAGCCACCAAAAAGCUCUCGGGAGCCCUUCCCGGCACCCUGUCGGAGGGGGGAUCCUUCACCGGUGGCCAUCUUCAUCAUCCCGGCGCUCUCCAUGACGAGGAGGGAGUAGUUCACCCUCGAGGCUGAGGGUAUGUACCAGUAGCUAUGUGUUUGAUCUCUCUCUCUCGUGUUCUCUCUCGUGUUACCUCUAUGGCACGAUCUUGAUGUAUCCCGAGCUUUGCUAUUGUAGUUGGAUCUUAUGAUGUUUCUCCCCCUCUACUCUCUUGUGAUGAAUUGAGUUUCCUCUUUGAAGUUAUAUUAUCGGAUUGAGUCUUUUAUGAGAACACUUGAUGUAUGUCUUGUCGUGCUUAUCUGUGGUGACAAUGGGAUAUCAUGUGCCUCUUGAUGUAUGUUUUGGUGACCAACUUGCGGGUUCCGCCCAUGAACCUAUGCAUAGGGGUUGGCACACGUUCUUGACUCUCCGGUAGAAACUUUGGGACACUCUUUGAAGUACUUUGUGUUGGUCGAAUAGAUGAAUCUGAGAUUGUGUGAUGCAUAUCGUAUAAUCAUGCCCACGGAUACUUGAGGUGACAAUGGAGUAUCUAGGUGACAUUAGGGUUUUGGUUGAUUUGUGUCUUAAGGUGUUAUUCUAGUACGAACUCUUGAAUAGAUUGGUCCGAAAGAAUAACUCUGAGGUGGUUUCGUACCCUACCAUAAUCUCUUUGUUUGUUCUCUGCUAUUAGUGGCUUUGGAGUGACUCUUUGUUGCAUGUUGAGGGAUUGUUAUAUGAUCUAUCUAUGUUAUUAUUGUUGAGAGAACUUGCACUAGUGAAAGUAUGAACCCUAGCUAGGCCUUGUUUCCUAUCAUUGCAAUACCGUUUACGCUCACUUUUACCACUUGCUACCUUGCUGUUUUUUAUAAUUUCAGAUUACAAAUACCUUUAUCUACCAUCCAUAUUGCACUUGUAUCACCAUCUCUUCGCCGAACUAGUGCACCUAUACAAUUUACCAUUGUAUUGGGUGUGUUGGGGACACAAGAGACUCUUAGUUAUUUGGUUGCAGGGUUGUUUGAGAGAGACCAUCUUCAUCCUACACCUCCUACGGAUUGAUAAACCUUAGGCCAUCCACUUGAGGGAAAUUUGCUACUGUCCUACAAACCUGUGCACUUGCAGGCCCAACAACGUCUACAAGAAGAAGGUUGUGUAGUAGACAUCAAGCUCUUUUCUGGCGCCGUUGCUGGGGAGGUGAGUGCUUGAAGGUAUAUCUUUAGAUCUUGCAAUCGAGUCUUUUAGUUUCUCAUUUUAUCACUAGUUUAGUUUAUAAAAGAAAACUACAAAAAAAUGGAGUUAAGUUUGUCUCGUACGCUUCAUCUUUUUAAUAUCUUUUGUGAGUUUGAUGAAAAGGAAAAUUGUGCUCAAGUGCUAGAAGAAGAAUGCAUUAGAAUGUUUGGUACUAUAUCUUUGUAUGAUGAGCAUGAUUGCGAUGUUGUUAGUAUGAAUUCCUUGAAUAUCCAUGAUGUUAAUGAUAUGCAAAGCCACAAGCUUGGGGAUGCUAUGUUUGAUGAAGAUGAUAUUUUUAGUCCCCCAAAUUUUGAUGAGCAAAUUUAUUAUGAUGAAAGAAUGCCUCCUAUUUAUGAUGAUUAUAUUGAUGAAAGUGGGUUUGGAAGAGUGUCAACUUUAGGAAGUAGUGAUCCCACUAUUUUGGAGGAUGUUGAAUCUUAUUGUGAUGAAUAUGAAAGUGGAUUUGGAAGAGUGUCAACUUUAUUUAGUGAUGAUUCCACUAUUUCGGAAGAGGUUUCAAUUGAUUAUGAGAACAAAGUUGCUAUCUAUGAUAAUUAUUGUGAUGACUUGUAUGCUAUUAGGAAUAAUGAUAACCAUGAAACUUGUCAGCAUGAUUUUAGUUUUCAAUUGGAUUAUGCCUCACAUGAUAAUUAUUUUGUUGAGUUUGCUCCCACUACUAUUCAUAAGAAGAAAUUUGCUUAUGUGGAGAGUAGUAAAUUUUCUAUGCUAGUAGAUCAUGAAAAGAAUGAUUUAGGUGCUGGUUAUAUUGUUGAAUUCAUUCAUGAUGCUACUGAAAAUUAUUAUGAGGGAGGAAUAUAUGCUUGUAGGAAUUGCAAUAAUGUCAAGUUUCCUCUCUAUGUGCUUAAAAUUUUGAAGUUAUGCUUGUUUUACCUUCCUAUGCUAGUUGAUUAUUGUUCCCAUAAGUUGUUUUCUCACAAAAUCCCUAUGCAUAGGAAGUGGGUUAGACUUAAAUGUGCUAGUCAUAUGCUUCACGAUGCUCCCGUUAUGUUUCAAUUCUUAUCUUUUAUGUGAGCAUCAUUGUCAUCAUCAUGCCUAGCUAGAAAGGCAUUAAAGAAAAGCGCUUGUUGGUAGACAACCCAAUAUUUACCCAUACUGUUUUUGUGUGUACACAUGAUUAUGCUACUGUAUUAAUCAUGUUUUAUAGCUUUUAUUUCAAUAAAGUGCCAAGUAGAACCUUUGGGAAGACUUGGGUGAAGUUUAUGUGAUCUUGCUGUGAAAAACAGAAACUUUUGCACUCACGAGAUUAGCUGCCGUUUUUUACUGGAGAGUGCUUUUAGGUUGAUUAUUUUUGCAGAUGAUUAAUAGACAAAUUACUCAGGUACAUCAAUUUAUUUCAUAAUUUUUUGAGUUCCAGAAGUAUACGUUUGAUACAGAUUACUACAGACUGUUCUGUUUUUGACAAAUUCUGUUUUCUAUGUGUUGUUUGCUUAUUUUGAUCAAUCUAUGGCUAGUAUUAAGUGGUAUGAACCAUAGAGAAUUUAUAAUACAUUAGAUAUUACACCAAUAUGAAUAAAUAAUGAGUUCAUUACAGUACCUAAGUGGUGAUUUAUUUUCUUAUACUAACGGAGCUUACGAGUUUUGUUUUGAGUUUUGUGUGGUUGAAGUUUUCAAGUUUUGGGUAAAGAUUCGAUGGACUAUGGAAUAAGGAGUGGCAAGAGCCUAAGCUUGGGGAUGCCCAAGGAACCCCAAGGUAAUAUUCAAGGACAACCAAGAGCCUAAGCUUGGGGAUGCCCCGGAAGGCAUCCCCUCUUUCGUCUUCGUUCAUCGGUAACUUUACUUGGAGCUAUAUUUUUAUUCACCACAUGAUAUGUGUUCUGCUUGGAGCGUCAUUUUCUUUUGUUAGUAUUUGCUUUCUGUUAGUUAUAAUAAUGUUUUGCAUCUUUAGUUUUAAUAAAAAUGUCAAGGAUAGCCUUUGCCAUGCUUAUUUUGCUAGUAUACAUGUUGCUGUUUGAAAACAGAAAGUUUACCUCUGUUGCAAAAAUUCCCUAGAAAAGUCAGAGAAUGGUAUAAUGUUGAAUAUUUUUUGCAUAUUAAGGUCUGAUAAAUUUAUUACAGUGGUAAUUUUAGUUCAUAAUUUUUGGAGUUAGGUAAGUAUUGAUACUCUUGCAUUUUUUACAGACUGUACUGUAUUGGCAGAUUGCUGUUAUGGUUGCAUUGUUUGCGUAUGUUUGCUUGUUUAAUGAUUCUAUUUGAUGAUAGGAGUAUUAAAUAUGCAGAGACAUUUAUUAUACAAUGCUUAAUAAUAAUUUUAGUGAUUUGUUACAGUAGAAAAUGAUAAGGUUUUGCAUUGGUUUAUACUAACCCAUCUCACGAGUUCUUGUUGAGUUUGUUGUGGAUGAAGCUUUUGAUAGAAAGAGAAACCGUGAUAUGAAAGGAAUUAAGGAGACACAAAAGUUCAAGCUUGGGGAUGCCCAAGGAACCCCAAGAUAAUAUUUCAAGAAGUCUCAAGCAUCUAAGCUUGGGGAUGCCCCGGUAGGCAUCCCACCUUUCUUCUUCAACAAUCAUCGGUUGAGCCUAAGUUUUUACUUCUUCACAUGAGUUGUCCUAUCCUUGCAAAGUCAUUUUGUUUUGUUUUUCUUGCUGCUUGAAUACAAUACUAAGAUCUGAAAUUCUUUAAUAAGAGAGAGUCUUCACAUAGUUGCAUAAUUAUUUUGCUACGCAUUGAUCUUGACUUAUAUCUUGUUGGAGUAGUUUGUCAUUUACUCGUGUGCUUCACUUAUAUCCUAGGAAUAAAUGGUUGAAUGAGUUGAAUGUCAUAAAUCUGAAUUUAUAUAUGUUUCAUUUGCUUAUCCCAUGGGGAGUAAUGACUUCACAUCUAAGAAGUAGAGGUUGUAAAUUUAUCGAUGAUUAGCAAGCAUUGUAUUAGUCAUUUGAACAAUUCAUGAAAGAAUAUUGAAGGAAGGGAGAUUUCACAUAUAAAUAUAUUAUCAUAGACAUCUUUUAUAAUUGUGAGCACUCAUUAUGUAUGACAUGCUAAAGAGUUGAUGUUGGACAAGGAAGACAACGUAAUGGGUUAUGUUUUCUCGCAUCUCAGUUAAAGUAUAUUGUCAUGGAUCAUUCAAACAUGUUGAGCUUGCCUUUCCCCCUCAUGCUAGCCAAAAAUUCCUAGCACCAAGUAGAGAUACUACUUGUGCUUCCAAAUAUCCUUAAACCCAGUUUUUGCCAUGAGAGUCCACCAUACCUACCUAUGGAUUGAGUAAGAUCCUUCAAGUAAGUUGUCAUCGGUGCAAGCAAUAAAAAUUGCUCUCAAAAUAUGCAUGACUUAUUAGUCUGGAGAAAAUAAGCUUUGUACGAACUUGUUGGAAGCAAUAAAAGCGACGGACUGCACAAUAAAGGUCCAUAUACAAGGGGCAAUAUAAAGUGACGUUCUUUCGCAUUAAGAUUUUGUGUAUCCAACCCUAAAAGCGCAUGACAACCUCUGCUUCCCUCUGCGAAGGGCCUAUCUUUUACUUUAUGUCUUUUACUUUAUGCAAGAGUCAAGGUAAUCUUCACCUUUCCCUUUUUCAUUUUAUCCUUUGGCAAGCACUUUGUGUUGGGGUGAUCCUGAUAUAUAUAUCCAACUGGAUGUACGUUAGCAUGAACUAUUAUUGUUAACAUCACCCAAAGGUGAAUACGUUUGGAGGCAACAUUAUAAGCCCCAAUCUUUCUCCGUGUCUGAUUAAAACUUCAUAACCACAAGUAUUGCGUGAGUGUUAGCAAUUGUAGAAACUAUAUGAUAGUUGAGUAUGUGAAGUUUGCUAAAUCAAAGCUCUGACAUAGACUCUUCCUAGAAGUAAGAUGAAUUGCAAUUGUUUGAUGACUAAUAAUGAAGUUUGCUAGUUUUCAAGAAUGUUUCUAUGCUUCAACAUGUGAAUUGAUUGUUACGUUAUCGUGAAAAGUUUUAUGAGAUGAACUAUUGUUAUGACAUAUUAUCAUGCUAGAAAAGGUGAUUGAAAUUAUCAUUGAUCAAACUUGUGCACCUUCUAGCAUUCACACUUCAUAAAUUCUUUCUUUUAUCAUUUACCUACUCGAGGACGAGUAGGAAUUAAGCUUGGGGGUGCUUGAUACGUCUCCAACGUAUCAAUAAUUUAUGAAGCAUUCAUGCUAUUUUAUUAUCUGUUUUGAAUGAUUAUGGGCUUUAUUAUACACUUUUAUAUUACUUUUGGGACUAACCUACUAACCGGAGGCCCAGCCCAUAUUGCUGUUUUAUUGCCUGUUUCAGUAUUUCGAACAAAAGGAAUAUCAAACGGAGUCCAAACGGAAUGAAACCUUUGGCAACGUGAUUUUUUUUGAAGAUUAUCAUCCUGGAGGCUUGGAGAUCAAGUCAGAAGAUCCUCGAGGAGCCCAGGAGACAAGGGGGCGCCCCCCCUACAGGGUGCGGCCCCCUAUCUCGUGGACCCCUCGAGCACCCCCCGACCGAUUUCUUUCGCCUAUAUAACCGUACAUACCCUAAAACUAUCGAAAAUCAAGAUAGAUCGGGAGUUCCGCCACCGCAAGCCUCUGUAGCCACCAAAAACCUCUUGGGAGCCCUUCCCAGCACUCUGCCGGAGGGGGGAUCCUUCACCGAUGGCCAUCUUCAUCAUCCCGGCGCUCUCCAUGACGAGGAGGGAGUAGUUCACCCUCGAGGCUGAGGGUAUGUACCAGUAGCUAUGUGUUUGAUCUCUCUCUCUCUCGUGUUCUCUCUUGUGUUCCCUCUAUGGCACGAUCUUGAUGUAUCCCGAGCUUUGCUAUUGUAGUUGGAUCUUAUGAUGUUUCUCCCCCUCUACUCUCUUGUGAUGAAUUGAGUUUUCCCUUUGAAGUUAUCUUAUCGGAUUGAGUCUUUUAUGAGAACACUUGAUGUAUGUCUUGCCGUGCUUAUCUGUGGUGACAAUGGGAUAUCAUGUGCCUCUUGAUGUAUGUUUUGGUGACCAACUUACGGGUUCUGCCCAUGAACCUAUGCAUAGGGGUUGGCACACGUUCUUGACUCUCCGUUAGAAACUUUGGGACACUCUUUGAAGUACUUUGUGUUGGUCGAAUAGAUGAAUCUGAGAUUGUGUGAUGCAUAUCAUAUAAUCAUGCCCACGGAUACUUGAGGUGAAAAUGGAGUAUCUAGGUGACAUUAGGGUUUUGGUUGAUUUGUGUCUUAAGGUGUUAUUCUAGUACGAACUCUUGAAUAGAUUGAUCCGAAAGAAUAACUUUGAGGUGGUUUCGUACCCUACCAUAAUCUCUUUGUUUGUUCUCAGCUAUUAGUGGCUUUGGAGUGACUCUUUGUUGCAUGUUGAGGGAUUGUUAUAUGAUCUAUCUAUGUUAUUAUUGUUGAGAGAACUUGCACUAGUGAAAGUAUGAACCCUAGGCCUUGUUUCCUAUCAUUGCAAUACCGUUUACGCUCACUUUUACCACUUGCUACAUUGCUGUUUUUAUAAUUUCAGCUUACAAAUACCUUUAUCUAUCAUCCAUAUUGCACUUGUAUCACCAUCUCUUCGCCGAACUAGUGCACCUAUACAAUUUACCAUUGUAUUGGGUGUGUUGGGGACACAAGAGACUCUUUGUUAUUUGGUUGCAGGGUUGUUUGAGAGAGACCAUCUUCAUCCUACGCCUCCUACGGAUUGAUAAACCUUAGGUCAUCCACUUGAGGGAAAUUUGCUACUGUCCUACAAACCUGUGCACUUGCAGGCCUAACAAUGUCUACAAGAAGAAGGUUGUGUAGUAGACAUCAAUACCCUCUAAGCCGAUUGUGACAGUAUCCUUUUCACAAUCAAUCCUAGCAUUAACUGUAUUCAAGAAGGGUCUACCAAAAAUAAUGGGAAAAAAUUCAUCUUGUGGAGAACUAAGAACAAGAAAAUCAGUGGGAUAUUUAACCUUCCCACACAAGACUUCAACAUCUCUAACAAUCCCAACUGGUGAAAUAGUAUCUCUAUUGGCAAGCCUGAUAGUAACAUCAAUACCUUCCAAUUCAACAGGUGCAAUGUCGUGCAUAAUUUCUUUAUAUAAAUCAUAGAGUAUUGCACUAGCACUAGCAUCCAUAUCACAUAAGCCAUGAUAACAAUGAUCUCCUAUUUUAACAGAAAUAACAGGCAUGCCUACCACAGGUCUAUGUAUCUUAGUAUCUGGUCUAACAAUAUUAGCAGUCUCACCACAUAAAUAAAUAACAUGCCCAUCUAAAUCAUCAUCCAAGAGAUCUUUAACCAUAGCAAUACUAGGUUCAACUUUGAUUUGCUCAGGAGGUGUAUAAGUCCUAGUAUUACUCUUACGAACAACAGUCGAAGUUUUAGCAUGAUCCUUUAUCCUAACAGGAAAAGGAGGUUUCUCAACAUAAGUAGUAGGAACAAUAGGAUCACUAUAAGUGACAGUCUUUUCUUCAACUGUAAUAGGUGGAACUACUUUUACUUCAAUGGGAGGAUUAUAUUUAAACCACUUCUCCUUAGGGAGAUCAACGUGAGUAGCAAAAGAUUCACAAAAAGAAGCUACUAUCUCAGAGUCAAGUCCAUAUUUAGCGCUAAAUCCACAAAAAGCAUCGGUAUCAAUAAAAGAUUUAACACAAUCAAACUUAGGUGUCAUACCUGACUCCUUAUCAUCGUCGGAACCCCAACCUUCAGAGUUGCAUUUAAUUCUUUCCAAUAAGUCCCAUUUGAAUUCAAUAGUCUUCAGCAUAUAAGAACCAACACAGGAAGUAUCGAGCAUGUUGCGAUCAUUGAGAGAAAGACGAGCAUAAAAGUUUUGAAUAAUCAUUUCUCUAGAGAGCUCAUGAUUGGGGCAUGAAUAUAACAUUGACUUAAGACUCCCCCAAGCUUGAGCGAUGCUUUCUACUUCGCGAGGCCAGAAAUUAUAUAUGUAAUUACGAUCACGAUGAACAAGAUGCAUAGGAUAGAACUUCUGGUGAAAUUCCAACUUCAAUCGUUUAUAAUUCCAAGAUCAUGUAUCAUCACAUAGCCUAUACCAUGUCAAUGCAUCUCCCUUCAAAGAUAAAGGGAAGACCUUCCUUUUAACAACAUCAUCGGGAAUAACUGCAAGCUUAAAUAAUGCACAAACUUCAUCCACAAAGAUAAGGUGUAAAUCAGGAUGCAAUGUUCCAUCUCCUGCAAAUGGAUUAGCUAGCAGUUUCUCUAUCAUACCCGAAGGAAUCUCAAAGUAAAUAUUUUCAAUAAGUUUAGUAGGUUGAGGAGCAACUCUUUGCUCCUCUGGUCGGGGUGAAGAUGCCCCUAACAAGCCCCUCAAAGAUUAGUUUCCAUAGUGACAAGUAACAGAAAAUUUCAGCACACUAUAUAAAUGUUUCCUUACCAAGUUCCACUCACCAAAAGUGCUACACUCCCCAGCAACGGCGCCAGAGAAGAGUCUUGAUGACCCACAAGUGUAGGGGAUCUAUCGUAGUCCUUUCUAUAAGUAAGAGUGUCGAACCCAAUGAGGAGCAGAAGGAAAUGAUAAGCGGUUUUCAGUAAGGUUUUCUCUGCAAGCACUGAAAUUGUAGGUAACAGAUAGUUUUGUGAUAAGAUAAAUUGUAACGGGUAACAAGCAAUGAAAGCAAAUAAAGUGCAGCAAGGUGGCCCAAUCCUUUUUGUAGCAAAGGAUAAGCCCGGACAAUUUCUUUUAAUGAGAAAAGAGCUCCCGAGGACACAUGGGAAUUAUCGUCAAGCUAGUUUUCAUCAUGCUCAUAUGAUUCGCGUUCGGUACUUUGAUAAUUUGAUAUGUGGGUGGACCGGUGCUUGGGUACUGCCCUUACUUGGACAAGCAUCCCACUUAUGAUUAACCCCUAUUGCAAGCAUCCACAACUACAAAAGAAGUAUUAAGGUAAACCUAACCACAUCAUUAAACAUAUGGAUCCAAAUCAGCCCCUUACGAAGCAAGGCAUAAACUAGGGUUUAAGCUUCUGUCACUCUAGCAACCCAUCAUCUACUUAUUACUUCCCAAUGCCUUCCUCUAGGCCCAAAUAAUGGUGAAGUGUCAUGUAGUCGACGUUCACAUAACACCACUAGAGGAAAGACAACAAACAUCUCAUCAAAAUAUCGAACGAAUACCAAAUUCACAUGACUACUAAUAGCAAGACUUCACCCAUGUCCUCAGGAACAAAUGUAACUACUCACAAAGCAUAUUCAUGUUCAUAACCAGAGGAGUAAUAAUAUGCAUUAAGGAUCUGAACAUAUGAUCUUCCACCAAGUAAACCAAUUAGCAUCAACUACAAGGAGUAAUCAACACUACUAGCAACCCACAAGUACCAAUUUGUGGUUUGGAUACAAGAUUGGAUAGAAGAGAUGAACUAGGGUUUUGAGAGGAGAUGGUGCUGGUGAAGAUGUUGAUGGAGAUUGACCCCCUCCCGAUGAGAGGAUCAUUGGUGAUGACGAUGGUGAUGAUUUCCCCCUCCCGGAGGGAAGUGUCCCCAGCAGAACAGCUGUGCCGGAGCUCUAGAUUGGUUCCGCCAAGGUUCCGCCUCGUGGCGGCGGAGUUUCGUCCCGUAAGCUUGCCCAUGAUUUUUUCCAGGGUAAAAGCCUUCAUAUAGCAGAAGAUGGACACCGGAGGUCCACCAGGGGGCCCACGAGACAGGGGGCGCGCCCAACAGGGGUGGGCGCACCCCCACCCUCCUGGCCAGGGUGUGGGCCCCCUCAGGUGUUUCUUUCGUUCAAUAAUUCUUAUUAAUUCCAAAAAUAAGUUCUAUGGAGUUUCAAGAUUUUUGGAGUAGUGCAGAAUAGGUUUCCAAUGUUUGCUCCUUUUCCAGUCAGAAUUCCAGCUGCCGGCAUUCCCCCUCUUCAUGGUAAACCUUGUAAAAUAAGAGAGGAUAACCAUAAAUUUUGAGAUAUAAUGUGUAAUAACAGCCCAUAAUGCAAUAAAUAUUGAUAUAAAAGCAUGAUGCAAAAUGGAUGUAUCAACUCCCCCAAGCUUAGACCUCGCUUGUUCUCAAGCGGAAGCCGAUAUCGAGAAAUAGGUCCACAUGUUUAGAGAUAGAGGUGUCGAUAAAAAUAAAAUACGGACAUGAGGGCAUCAUGAUCAUUCUUAUAACAGCAACAUACAUAGAUUUUAUCAUAUGAUUUCUUAUGUUCAAGUAACGAUCAAUUCACAAUGUCAAGCAUGGUUCAGAAACUUCAUUGGGAGGUAGCAAACUGUAAUCUCAGUCAUUGAAGCAAUUGCAAUUUAUCAUAACAUCAGAAAGAGUCAAGAAUAGAGCUUUUCAGCAAGUCCACACACUCAACUAUCGUGUAGUCUUCUACAAUUGCUAACACUCACGCGGUACUUGUGGUUAUAGAGUUUCAACCGGACACUGAGAAAGAUAGGGGCUUAUUGUGUUGCCUCCCAACAUAUUCACCUUUAGGUGAUGUCAACAAUAAUAAUCCAUGAUAACUUACAUUUAAUUGGAUAUAUAUAUAUAUAUAUCAUGAUCUUUCAAACACGAGGAGCUUGCCAAAGGAUAAAAUGAAAAAGGGAAAGGUGAAGAUCACCUUGACUCAAGCAUAAAGUAAAAAUCAUAAAGUAAAAGAUAGGCCCUUCGCAGAGGGAAGCAGAGGUUGUCAUGUGCUUUUAGGGUUGGAUGCAUAUGAAAUCUUAAUGCAAAAGAACGUCACUUUAUAUUGCCACUUGUAUGUGGACUUUUAUUAUGCAGUCUGUCGCUUUUAUUGCUUCCACAACAAGAUCGUAUAAAACUUAUUUUCUCCGCACUAAUAAGUCAUACAUAUUUAGAGGGCAAUUUUUUUAUUGCCUGCAACAUGACAACUUACUUGAAGGAUCUUACUCAAUCCAUAGGUAGGUAUGGUGGACUCUCAUGGCAAAACUGGGUUUAAGGAUAUUUGGAAGCACAAGUAGUAUCUCUACUUGGUGCAAGGAAUUUGGCUAGCAUGAGGGGGAAAGGCAAGCUCAACAUGUUUGGAAGGUCAAUGACAAUAUAUUUUAACUGAGACGUGAGAAAACAUAAACCAUUACGUUGUCUUCUUUGUCCAACAUCAACUCUUUUAGCAUGUCAUACUUAAUGAGUGCUUCACAAUCAUAAAAGAUAUCCAAGAUAUAUAUUUGUAUGUGAAACCUCUCUUUCCUUAUUACUUCCUAUUAAUUGCAACGAUGACCAAAACUACGUUUAUCAACUCUCAACAACUUUUAUGCCUCAUACUUUCUAUGUGUGAAGUCAUUACUAUCCAUAAGAUCAAUAUGAACUCUUUUAUUCUUUCUACUUUCUCAAGAUCAUAGCAAGAUAGCAAAGCCCUUGACUCAACACUAAUCUUUAUUAUAGAUAGCUCACGGACUCGAUUACAUAAAGAGAUCACAAAGCAAAACUCGAAACUACUUGAUACUAAAACUUCAAUCUACUAGAUCAAGAUACUACUAAAAGGAUCAAACUAAAUAAAACGGUAAAGAUAAGAGUUUGAUGGUGAUACGAUACCGGGGCACCUCCCCCAAGCUUGGCAGUUGCCAAGGGGAGUGCCAAUACCCAUGUAAUUAUGUCCUCGGAGGUGGUGAAUUAGGAGUUGUUGAUGAUGUAGGCUUGUCGUCCAUCUUCCAAGGCAUAGGCUCACCAUCAUAGAAGGAUGAUCGAGUGUACGGGAUCCUUAAAUCUGCAGCCAAACUCAUCCUCUUGAAUCUAUAUUCAUACUCACAGUUCUGGUUUUGCAGGUCAUAGAUCUGGGCUUGGAGGUGCUUGAUUUUCUCUUGAAGCUUGAAGAUGGUUUCCCCAAUGACUUUGGCAUCUAGCUUGUGGUUGUUGGUGAACUCCGUGAUCAUCAUCUGGUUGGCUUUGAGUCCACGCUCCACCAUCCCUUGGCACUUGAAGACUUGCUGCUCCACAGCUUCGAGCUUUGUCUCCACGCUUCCGGUACGCCUUGGUCCCUCCACAUCAAGGAUGUGCAGCACCCCCUCACGCAUCUCAAUGGUUUGAGGGUGUUGCAGCACCUCCGCGAGAUAGGGGUUGAUAACCCUCUCGAAAAACUUGUCCUUGGGAGCGCUUGGAGAUGGCAUGAUGCUCUAGAUCUGUAACAGAAAACAACUCGAACAAAAACAGAGGAUAUUUGCGUGAUACGAUGGUCAAAACCUUCGGGAGUUUAUAUAAUGAAUUUUUACCGACCAAAAUACGUAACGUGCAACAAAACGGAGUCCGGGAGGCACACGAGGUGGCCACGAGACAGGGGGGCGUGCCCUCCACCCUCGUGGAAGCUUCGUGUCCUUCCCGUACUACUUCUUUCUUCCUAAAAUUCUUAAAUAUACCAAAACUGAUAAAAAUUUCCAUUAUAAUUGUUUUGGAGUCGGUUUACUUACCGUACCACAUAGCUAUUCCUUUUCGGAGUCUGGAACGUUCUGGAAAGUAUCCCUUAUGUAUUCCUCUAGGGUUACAGUUUCAAUAAUAUUAGUUUCAACAUUGAUAGGAUUACCUGAGAUAUAAUGUUUAAUCCUUUGACCGUUCACCACCCUGGGACUUGUGCCUUCGAAGUUGUUGAUUUUUAUGGCACCCGAACGAUAGACCUCCUCGAUAACGUAAGGACCUUCCCAUUUAGAGAGAAAUUUUCAUGCAAAAAAUCUUAAACGAGAGUUGAAUAAUAACACAUAAUCACCUACGUUAAACUCAGGCUUUUGUAUCCUUUUGUCAUGCCAGUGUUUGACUUUUUCUUUGAAUAGCUUGGCAUUCUCAUAGGCUUGGGUUCUCCAUUCAUCAAGUGAGCUAAUAUCAAAAAACCUCUUCUCACCGGCAAGUUUGAAGUCAUAGUUGAGAUCUUUGAUAGCCCAAUAUGCUUUAUGUUCAAGUUCUAGAGGUAAAUGACAAGCUUUUCCAUAAACCAUCUUAUAUGGAGACAUGCCCAUAGGAUUUUUGUAUGUAGUUCUAUAGGCCCAUAAUGCAUCAUCAAGUUUUUUGGACCAAUUCUUUCUAGAUCUAGAUUGGUUCCGCCAAGGUUCCGCCUCGUGACGGCGGAGUUUUGUCCCCGUAAGCUUGCCCACGAUUUUUUCCAGGGUAAAAGCCUUCAUAUAGCAGAAGAUGGACAACGGAGGGCCACCAGGGGGCCCAGGAGACAAGGGGGCGCGCCCAGUAGGGGUGGGCGCGCCCCCCACCCUCCUGGCCAGGGUGUGAUCCGCCUCAGGUGUUUCUUCCGCUCAAUAAUUCUUAUUAAUUCCAAAAAUAAGUUCCGUGGAGUUUCAAGAUUUUUGGAGCAGUGCAGAAUAGGUUUCCAAUGUUUGCUCCUUUUCCAGCCAGAAUUCCACCCGCCAGCAUUCCCCCUCUUCUUGGUAAACCUUGUAAAAUAAGAGAGAAUAGCCAUAAAUAUUGAGAUAUAAUAUGUAAUAACAGCCCAUAAUGCAAUAAAUAUUGAUGUAAAAGCAUGAUGCAAAAUGGACGUAUCAAUACCCCUUGUUGGACUAAAGUUGUCCGUCUCCUAGGAAUUGAAUCUGACUUUAUAAGAAACAGAGCUUACACACGCCAUCAUAAGUUCAAUCCACUGCUCAUUAAAACCGAGUGCCCUCAUCAUAUCACGGAGGAAGGACCAUUCCACCCUAUCGUAUGCUUUGUGCAUGUCCAAUUUUACCGCGCAUAAACCUGUCUGAACAGCCCUUUUGUUCUUGAUUUUAUGCACACACUCAUAUGCUAUCAAGAUAUUGUCAGUGAUCAUUCUUCUUGGGACAAAGGCACUUUGCGUAGGGGAAAUGAUCUCCGGCAAAAUACUCUUUAGCCCGAAGGCUAACAAUUUAGAAAUGAUCUUAUAUGAAACACUCCAAAGAUUGAUAGGGCGAAAUUGUGUUAUCAGUUCAAGGCCAUCAGUUUUUGGUAUCAUGACAAUCGUGGUUCCAUUCCAAUCAGCUGGGAUUACCCUAGAAUUAAUUGCAUGAAGAACCUCCUUUGUGAUCUCGUCUCCCAGGAUAUGCCAGUAUUUUUUAAAGAAUAUUGCAUGAAGGCCAUCAGGUCCCGGGGCCUUUAUGUCUCCAAUACUGAACACUGCCUUCCUGACAUCUUCGGCUGUAUAAGGUGCCAUCAAAAAGCUAUUCAUUUGGUCAGUUACAUUAUGCCGAACCUUCUGUAAAAUUUCUGGAUUUGUGUGCCGCACCUCAGGCGAGAAAAGUUGCGUAAAAUAGUUCAGAACAUGUGAAUUCAGCUCUGGCAUACCUUCAAGCCAAUUACCUCCAUCAUCCUUUAAUCUCUUCACAAAAUCUCUCUUUCUCCUUGCUGAUGCAUAUGUUUGGAAGAACACCCUAUUACGGUCUCCACUCGUCAUCCAAGUCGCUCGAGAUCAUUGCAUGACUUGGAUCUCCUCCAGCUCUAACAGAUAUUCAAUCAGCUCUAUCAGUUCUUUCCUCUUUUCAUCAUUCUCAUCUGACAUAGGGCCAUUUAUGACUCUCUCCAGCUCCCUCUGAGCUUUACGUAACCGUUUUUUGUUUUUUGAGAACCCUCUAAUCCCAAUCAUGGAAGCUAGCAUGCAUUUUAUUGAGUUUCUCAUGUAUGCUUGUUAUGUUUGGGUCGUCUGCAGCCUCCGUCCAUGCUUCCAUCACUUUCUCAUUGAAUAACUUCUCUCUCAGCCAUCUAGCUUCAAAUCUUUUGACAUGUGUAUUCGAACCGCUUGGUGGCUGUACAUAGAAGCCAGUGUCCACCAGAAGAGGUCUAUUAUCCGAAUGAUUAAACUCUAAAUUCCGCAAUGCCGCCUGAGGGAAUUGGGAGGUCCACAAAUCAUUUACAAGCCCUCUAUCGAGUCUUUCCCAUAUUCUUCCUCGACGCCAAGUGUAUUGGUCACCAAUGUAGCCAAGGUCGUGCAAGGCACAUUCUUCUACAAUAUCCUGGAACGCUUGCAUAUAUUGGGGUGGUCGUGGAUUGCCACCCUCCUUCUCAUGCAAAUACACGAUCUCAUUGAGAUCACCCACCAGGAGCCAGGGUAAAGUAUGCGCUUGAUGCAGUUGCCUCAUAUGCGACCAAGUUAAGUGUUUGUUUUCCCACCUGAACUCUCCAUAGAUCCCAGUCAAACGCCACCCAGAAUUAUUAUUAUUGUUAUCCACUAUCUUUACAUCAAUGAACAUGGGAUUUAGAGAUAAUCUCUGAACAUUGACAUUAUUAUUCCAGAAAAGAACUAAGCCUCCACUUCUACCAUUGCUCGGACAAACUAGUUUUUGAUCCAUCUUCAAUCUCUUACGCAGACAUUCUGCCGGAUAACUAUCAAGGUGUGUCCCCGACAAGAACAUCACCUCGGGGUUGCAGCUUCGUUGGACAUCCAACAAAGCACGUACUGCCGGUGCGUUCCCAAGGCCCCGACAGUUCCAGGCUAGUAUUUUCAUUGCUUCCGGCCAUCCUCCACGCGGGAGGACGCCGAUAUCUCAUUUGUUUGCUGGCCUUCCGAGCUGUCCACAGCCUCACCAUCCAACCCUUUGUACUUCUUCCUGUUAGCAUUUUUCUGAGGCAUGCUAGACGCCUCCGGGGUGAUCCCCGACAGAGUCUCUCCUUCGAUCGGAUCCACAAUUGCUGCCACUUUUCAAGUUGUGGACAUAUUGGGAAUGAUCACCAACAUGUUAGAUACCCCUGGCAAAGCUUGCUGUGUAUCUCUUGCAGUUCUCUUACCAAGGACGUUGGUCUGACGAACAUCCUGAUUACUCAUCUCCUGUUCUGACCCUUGUCCUGUUUCCAUCUCUGUACCUCCUGGUUUAUACAACGCAUUGUGGCGCCAGCUAUCCACUGUACCCCUUCCAACAGCGCCAUGAGGAGGAUUUCCUCGACCACGACCUGGUCCAAAAGGCGGAUCUUCCCUGACAUUCUCACCUCUUCCUCGACCAGGGUUCCUCAUCGCUCCAUGGCCUCUGCCGUUACUUCUACCUCCAUCAACCAGUAGGAAAUCACCCCACUCCAGCUUGGUUACAUCAUGCUCUCCAGUGCCACACUCAUCAUACCAGUGCCCCAAAAGGCCACAAUUGCCACAGAAAUCCGAUAGCUUUUCAUACUGGACUUGGUACCAGUCUGUCUCAUUAUUCUUUGUGAUUGAAACAAAUCUGAUAAGUUUCUUCGUGGCAGUAAGCUCCACUCUGACCCUUACAAAUUCACCAACAAAGCCAGCCGGUAGGGUUGUUUGGACCUCCAACACCCUACCCAUCUUACGACACAUGCCCUUUAUCGCUGCUGGAAACAGAUAAUUAUCCGGGAGUUUCAAAAUCCUAGCCCAUACCACCAGUUUGUCCAAAACCAUCGAUUCUGGUUUCUUGAAUCCAUCGUAUUCCUCUAUCAAGACUCCUUGGUUCCUAAACAGCCAAGGCCCCUUGUUAAUCGCAGUGUUCCAAUCACCCAAGAAACCAAACUGUACCGUAAACAGAUUCUCAUCAAUUCUGCGCCAAUGGACCUCCCUGGCUGGGUUCCACGCUGACCUCAUAUCACCAUAAAGAGCAGAGGGGUUGAAUCCCUUGUUGGUGUGCACCUUCGCUAUCGCCAGCCACCUGGCUUCGAUCUUCUCAUCCUUGAAUUCUUCUUCCUAGACAAAUUGUUCCUCCUCAUCCUCAUGGAGUUCCAAGCGGCUCAGGAGAUCUUCCACCGGUUCCUUGCCCCUGUGUGUCCUGCUUCAUUCAUCCUGUGUCGCCAUGGCAACUACGAGCGCUAAACCCUAGCCUUGAAACGGGCCAGGAUCAGAAGAUCGAAACCCACCCGUACACCUCCACGUAUACUUCCCAAGGAUCAGGACCGGGAAGAGGCAGAGAUUGGAUGGGGAUUAGCGACAGCGGACGGUAGGAAAAGACUCUCGAUGGCGGCGCCGCCGGAGAAGAACGAAACCCUAACGAGAGGGGAAAAAAAGAAAGCCAGGGAGAACCUUACUUUUUUUUAAGUAGAGAUUGGUAGAUAAUAGAGAUAGAGAUUCUUUUUUCUUUAUGAUACCUAUUUUUUGAGACAUUUUCUUUAUGAUACCUUUUGGUUUAUUCGUGUGAACCGCGAGUGCUAACAACGGUCGACUGACUAGCGAGAACACUUAAUGGGCCGCGGCCCACCUAGCCAUACGUGCGAGAGCCAGCGGCGCGUUAAGCGCUGAGGAGGUCUCACAGACCUUUGGACCCGGGAAAAUAAAAAGAGCGAGGCGGCGGGCGACGCCGCCGCUGUUGCAUGGAGGCGGGCGACGCGACGCAGUAGCGGGGAACGAGCGACGCGGCCUCAGGGUCCCAUCGAGCGCGCGAGAGGCUCUGCGAGGCGGCACUGCCGCUGUACUGUGAAGCUGAUCCACCGAGGAAGCAAUCAACCAUCAGUGGAGGUAUACGUUUGCCCGCGAUUUAGCUGCUUCGUCCGCUGACGCCCUCCCGUCACCCUCUUUACUCCGGCAGUAGCAGCUCCAGCAGCAAUGGCUCUUGGCUAGGUUAAUUGAUUCUGGUUGUUCAUCCUUUUUGUGGUCUAUUGAUUCGGGCAUUUGUGUUUUUUCCAAUUGAUUAGGAAUAAUGUAAUCUGAUUUUUUUAGGGGACGUAAUCUGAUGAGAUGAUAAUACAGCUUCCGAAUCAAUUGUAGCCUGCUUCAGUGGCCACGCUGGGGGAUCGAUCCCAUUGUUCCAUUCUCAGCAGAAGAUAAUUGAUAUCUGUUUCUGGUGAGAAAUUUCUCCUGUAUGAUGCAAGUUCACCCAUUUCUGUACCUGGACGGCUGGGUGAUUUUGUGACUCAUUGCUCCAGAUGAUCUUUUCAUGUAGGUUUUGAGGACUCAAAGGUCAUCGACCCUCAUUGACACAUAUGAACCGACCUACGGACCUGUUGCUAACUCUACUUGAUCAUGUAUGCCCCUGUUCCCUGUAUCACAGGAUUUAUUCAUAUCUAUCCACAUAAGUAAAUGUUCUUAAUUUGUGAGAAGUUCCACUUCUACGUACAGUUCCAUAUCAGGACACAACACACGGUUAUGUCCAUUCUUAAAUACUUGGAACUUUUACAUGCGAAAACCAUAUGAAAUUUACCUGUCAAAACUGUCCAGGAGUGCUCGGAAAGAAAAAUCUUCCAUCCUGAGCUACCGAAAUUUUGGUAUGUUUUGGCUUGCUUCUUCUGUAGGACUUCUCUAGAUGAACUAUAGUCCAAAUCAGCUUAUAGACACAUUUCAGCUAUCAUUAUAUCACUCUGUUUCUUAGGCUACCUUAUUGAUACUUUUCUUACUGGCCAACUUCCUAUUUGUAUCUCUAUAUUCGGGGCCGUGAUGUGUUCUCUUUAUUUUGCAAUACUACACGAAGGUAGCAUACUCGAGUUCAGAUAUGCUACAUGGCAGAAACAGUUAUUUUUCAGUUUUUUGUAGUAAUUAUCAUGAUGAAACAUGCCAUGUUGUUCUCUUAUAUUUGGCUCAAAAUCAAUUGUCACCAGUCUAAGCUCAUAAUUAUCAUGUACCAUGCUAGGAAUGAUCCAUUCCAGUUGGCAUAUAAACUCCAGUAAAAUGCAAGAGGAAUGAAAUUUUGUUAGUUUUGAUCACCUGCGAGGUUGUUUAAUUGUAGGGUGAAACAAGUUCAUGAUUUUUUUCUAAACCAAGUAACAUAUCAGGUAGGAAGGUGAAUGCUCUAUUGAAUAUUGAUAACCAUACGGGAAAAAAAUAUACUAUGGACUGGUUUUGGGAAAAUGAAUCUAUCUAUCUGGAUUGGUAGGCUUUGAGCAAUAUGCCAUGCCUGACUUGAUUUGUCUUACCCAUCUCUUUAGAAGAAACAUUCUUCUAAAAAUUAUAGAAGACCAGCUCCUCGUGAAGAACGAGGAGAUUAAACAUAGAUGGCAGGAGUACUUCGACACGCUGUUCAAUGGGGAGAAUGAGGGCUAUACCAUUGAACUGGACGACUCCUUUGAUGACAUCAGUAGGCGCUUGUGCGGCGAAUCUAAGAGUUUGUGGUCAAGGAGGCUUUAAAAAGCAUGAAAGGAGGCAAGGUGAUGGACCCUGAUUGUAUUCCCAUUGAGGUGUGGAGAGGCCUCGGAGACAUAGCGGUAGUAUGGCUAACUAAGCUUUCCAACCUCAUUUUUUGGGCAAACAAGAUGCCAGAAGAACAGAGGCAGAAUAUAUUAGUACCAAUCUUCAAGAACAAGGGGGAUGUUCAAGGUUGUACUAAUCACCAUGGAAUUAAGUUGAUGACCUAUACAGUGAAGCUAUGGGAGAGAAUCAUUGAGCACCGCUUAAGAAGAAUGGCAAGCGUGACCAAAAAUCAGUUUGGUUUCAUGCCUGGGAGGUCGAACAUGAAGCCAUUUUCUUGGCACGACAACUUAUGAAGGGAUACAGGGAGCAAAAGAAGGACCUGCAUAUGGUGUUCAUUGACUUGGAGAAGGCCAACGAUAAGAUACCGCGGAAUGUCAUGUGGCGGGCCUUGAAGAAACACAAACUCCCAACAAAGUACAUCACCCUCAUCAAGGACAUGUAUGAUAAUGUUGUGACAAGUGUUCAAACAAGUGUGACGACACUAAUGACUUUCCAAUUAAAAUAGGACUGCAUCAGGGGUCAGGUUUGAGCCCUUAUCUUUUUUGAUUUGGUGAUGUUGUGGUCACAAGGGAUAUACAAAGAGAUAUCCCAUGGUGUAUGCUCUUUGCGGAUGAUGUGGUGCUAGUCGAUGUAAGUUAGAGCUAUGGAGAUAAACCUUGGAAUCAAAAGGUUUUAGGCUUAGUAGAACUAAAACCGAGUACAUGAGGUGCGGUUUCAGUACUACUAGGCACGAGGAGGAGGUUAGUCUAGAUGGGCAGGUGAUACCUCAGAAGGACACCUUCUGAUAUUUGGGGUCAAUGCUGCAAAAGGAUAGGGAUAUCAAUGAAGAUGUCAACACUCAACCAUCGAAUCAAAGCCGGAUGGAUGAAGUGGUGCCAAGCUUUUGGCGUUCUCUGUGACAAGAGAGUCCUGAAGGAAAUAUGCCCUAGAGGCAAUAAUAAAGUUAUUAUUUAUUUCCUUAUAAUCAUGAUAAAUGUUUAUUAUUCAUGCUAGAAUUGUAUUAACCGGAAACAUAAUACAUGUGUGAAUACAUAGACAAACAGAGUGUCAUUAGUAUGCCUCUACUUGACUAGCUCGUUAAUCAAAGAUGGUUAUGUUUCCUGACCAUGAACAAUGAGUUGUUAUUUGAUUAACGAGGUCACAUCAUUAGUUGAAUGAUCUGAUUGACAUGACCCAUUCCAUUAGCUUAGCACCUGAUCGUUUAGUAUGUUGCUAUUGCUUUCUUCAUGACUUAUACAUGUUCCUAUGACUAUGAGAUUAUGCAACUCCCGUUUUCCGGAGGAACACUUUGGGUGCUACCAAACGUCACAACGUAACUGUGUGAUUAUAAAGGAGCAUUACAGGUGUCUCCAAAGGUAGAUGUUGGGUUGGCGUAUUUCGAGAUUAGGAUUUGUCACUCCGAUUGUCGGAGAGGUAUCUCUGGGCCCUCUCGGUAAUGCACAUCACAUAAGCCUUGCAAGCACUGCAACUAAUAUGUUAGUUGUGAGAUGAUGUAUUACGGAACGAGUAAAGAGACUUGCCGGUAACGAGAUUGAACUAGGUAUUGGAUACCGACGAUCAAAUCUCGGGCAAGUAACAUACCGAUGACAAAGGGAACAACGUAUGUCGAGAUGCGGUCUGACCGAUAAAGAUCUUCGUAGAAUAUGUAGGAGCCAAUAUGGGCAUCCAGGUCCCGCUAUUGGUUAUUGACCGGAGACGUGUCUCGGUCAUGUCUACAUUGUUCUCGAACCCGUAGGGUCCGCACGCUUAAGGUUACGAUGACAGUUAUAUUAUGAGUUUAUGCAUUUUGAUGUACCGAAGGUUGUUCAGAGUCCCGGAUGUGAUCACGGACAUGACGAGGAGUCUCGAAAUGGUUGAUACAUAAAGAUUGAUAUAUUGGAAGUCUAUGUUUGGACAUCGGAAGUGUUCCGGGUGAAAUCGGGAUUUUACCGGGUUACCGAGAGGUUACCGGAACCCCCCGGGAGCCAUAUGGGCCAUCAUGGGCCUUAGUGGAAAGGAGAAAGGGGCAGCCCAAGGGGGCUGCGCGCCUCCCCCCUUCCCCUAGUCCUAUUAGGACUAGGAGAGGUGGCCGGCCACCCCUCUCCCUCUUUCCCCCUUGGGAAUCCUAGUUGGAAUAGGAUUGGAGGGGAGUCCUACUCCCGGUAGGAGUAGGACUCCUCCUGCGCCACCUCCUCCUGGCCGGCGCCUCCUCCCCCCUUGGCUCCUUUAUAUACGGAGGCAAGGGGCACCUCUAAACACACAAGUUGACACAAGUUGAUCCACGUGAUCGAUUCCUUAGCCGUGUGCGGUGCCCCCUGCCACCAUAUUCCUCGAUAAUACUGUAGCGGAGUUUAGGCGAAGCCCUGCUGCUGUAGUUCAUCAAGAUCGUCACCACGCCGUCGUGCUGACGAAACUCUUCCCCGACACUUUGCUGGAUCGGAGUCCGGGGAUCGUCAUCGAGCUGAACGUGUGCUCGAACUCGGAGGUGCCGUAGUUUCGGUGCUUGAUCGGUUGGAUCGUGAAGACGUACGACUACUUCCUCUACGUCGUGUCAUCGCUUCCGCAGUCGGUCUGCGUUGGGUACGUAGACAACACUCUCCUCUCGUUGCUAUGCAUCACAUGAUCCUGUGUGCGCGUAGGAAAUUUUUUGAAAUUACUACGAAUCCCAACAGUGGCAUCCGAGCCUAGGUUACUUAUGUUGAUGUUAUAUGCACGAGUAGAACACAAGUGAGUUGUGGACGAUACAAGUCAUACUGCCUACCAGCAUGUCAUACUUUGUUUCGGCGGUAUUGUUGGACGAGACGACCCGGACCAACCUUACGCGUACGCUUACGCGAGACCGGUUCCCUCGACGUGCUUUGCACAUAGAUGGCUUGCGGGCGACUGUCUCUCCAACUUUAGUUGAACCAAGUAUGGCUACGCCCGGUCCUUGAGAAGGUUAAAACGGAGUCUAUUUGACAAACUAUCGUUGUGGUUUUGAUGCGUAGGUGAGAUUGGUUCUUACUUAUGCCCGUAGCAGCCACGUAAAACAUGCAACAACAAAGUAGAGGACGUCUAACUUGUUUUUGCAGGGCAUGUUGUGAUGUGAUAUGGUCAAGGCAUGAUGCUGAAUUUUAUUGUAUGAGAUGAUCAUGUUUUGUAACCGAGUUAUCGGCAACUGGCAGGAGCCAUAUGGCUGUCGCUUUAUUGUAUGCAAUGCAAUCGCGAUGUAAUGCUUUACUUUAUUACUAAACGGUAGUGAUAGUCGUGGAAGCAUAAGAUUGCGAGACGACAACGAUGCUACGAUGGAGAUCAAGGUGUCGCGCCGGUAACGAUGGUGAUCAUGACGGUGCUUCGGAGAUGGAGAUCACAAGCACAAGAUGAUGAUGGCCAUAUCAUAUCACUUAUAUUGAUUGCAUGUGAUGUUUAUCCUUUUAUGCAUCUUAUCUUGCUUUGAUUGACGGUAGCAUUAUAAGAUGAUCUCUCACUAAAUUAUCAAGAAGUGUUCUCCCUGAGUAUGCACCGUUGCCAAAGUUCGUCGUGCCCAGACACCAUGUGAUGAUCGGGUGUGAUAAGCUCUACGUCCAUCUACAACGGGUACAAGCCAGUUUUGCACACGCAGAAUACUCAGGUUAAACUUGACGAGCCUAGCAUAUGCAGAUAUGGCCUCGGAACACGGAGACCGAAAUGUCGAGCGUGAAUCAUAUAGUAGAUAUGAUCAACAUAAUGAUGUUCACCGAUGAAACUACUCCAUCUCACGUGAUGAUCGGACAUGGUUUAGUUGAUUUGGAUCACGUGAUCACUUAGAGGAUUAGAGGGAUGUCUAUCUAAGUGGGAGUUCUUAAGUAAUAUGAUUAAAUUGAACUUAAAUUUAUCAUGAACUUAGUCCUGGUAGUAUUUUGCAAAUCAUGUUGUAGAUCAAUAGCUCGCGUUGUUGCUUCCCUGUGUUUAUUUUGAUAUGUUCCUAGAGAAAAUUGUGUUGAAAAAUGUUAGUAGCAAUGUUGCGGAUUUGAUCCGUGAUCUGAGGUUAAAUCCUCAUUGCUGCACAGAAGAAUUAUGUCCUUAAUGCACCGCUAGGUGACGGACCUAUUGCAGGAGCAAAUGCAGACGUUAUGAACGUUUGGCUAGCUCAAUAUGAUGACUACUUGAUAGUUUAAGUGCACCAUGCUUAACGGCUUAGAAUCGGGACUUCAAAGACGUUUUGAAUGUCAUGGACCAUAUGAGAUGUUCCAGGAGUUGAAGCUAAUAUUUCAAGCAAAUACCCGAGUUGAGAGAUAUGAAGUCUCCAACAAGUUCUAUAGCUAAAAGAUGGAGGAGAAUCGCUCAACUAGUGAGCAUGUGCUCAGAUUGUCUGAGUACUACAAUCGCUUGAAUCAAGUGGGAGUUAAUCUUCCAGAUAAGAUAGUGAUUGACAGAAUUCUAUAGUCACCAUCACCAAGUUAGUAGAACUUCGUGAUGAACUAUGACAUGCAAGGGAUAACGGAAACGAUUCCCAAGCUCUUCGUAAUGCGGAAAUUGACGAAGGUAGAAAUCGAGAAAAACAUCAAGUGUUGAUGGUAGACAAGACCACUAGUUUCAAGAAAAGGGGCAGAAGGAAGAAGGGGAACUUCAAGAAGAACAGCAAGCAAGUUGCUGCUCAAGUGAAGAAGCCCAAGUCUGAUCCUAAUCCUGAGACUAAAUGUUUCUACUGCAAAGGGACUGGUCACUGGAAGCGGAUCUACCCCAAGUGAUUGGCGGAUAAGAAGGAUGGCAAAGUGAACAUAAGUAUAUUUGAUAUACAUGUUAUUGAUGUGUACUUUACUAGUGUUUAUCGCAAACCCUCAGUAUUUGAUACUAGUUCAGUUGCUAAGAUUAGUAACUCGAAAUGGGAGUUGCAGAAUAAACAAAGACUAGUUAAGGGUGAAGUGACGAUGUGUGUUGGAAGUGGUUCCAAGAUUGAUAUGAUCAUCGUCACACACUCCCUAUACUUUCGGGAUUAGUGUUGAACCUAAAUAAGUGUUAUUUGGUGUUUGCGUUGAGCAUGAAUAUGAUUUGAUCAUGUUUAUUGUAAUACGAUUAUUCAUUUAAGUAAGAGAAUAAAUUGUUGUUCUGUUUACAUGAAUAGAACCUUAUAUGGUUACACACCCAAUGAAAAUAGUUUGUUGGAUCUCGAUCGUAGUGAUACACAUAAUCAUAAUAUUGAAACCAAAAGAUGCAAAGUUAAUAAUGAUAAGUGCAACUUGUUUGUAGCACUGCCGUUUAGGUCAUAUUGGUGUAAAGCGCAUGAAGAAACUCCAUACUGAUGGAAUUUUGGAAUCACUUGAUUAUGAAUCACUUGAUGCUUGCGAACUGUGCCUUUUGGGCAAGAUGACUAAAACUCCGUUCUCCGAAACAAUGGAACGAGCUACUGACUUAUUGGAAAUAAUACAUACCGAUGUAUGCGAUCCAAUGAGUGCUGAUGCUCGUGGCAAGCAUCGUUGUUUUCUGACCUUCACAAGAUGAUUUGAGCAGAUAUGGGUAUAUCUACUUGAUGAAACAUAAGUCUGAAAUAGUUGAAAGGUUCAAAGAAUUUCAGAGUGAAGUGGAAAAAUCAUCGUAACAAGAAAAUAAAGUUUCUACGAUCUGAUCGCGGAGACAAAUAUUUGAGUUACGAGUUUGGUCUUCAAUUAAAACAAUGUGGAAUAGUUUCACAGCUCACGCCACCUGGAACACCACAUCGUUAUGGUGUGUCCGAACGUCGUAACCGCACUUUAUUUGAUAUGGUGCGAUCUAUGAUAUCUCUUUACCACUAUCGUUUUGGGGUUAUGCAUUAGAGACAGCUGCAUUCACGUUUUAAAAUAGGGCACCAUCUAAAUCCGUUGAGACGACACUGUAUGAACUAUGGUUUAGCAGUAAACCUAAGCUGUUGUUUCUUAAAGUUUGGGGCUGCGAUGCUUAUGUGAAAAAGUUUCAUCCUGAUAAGCUCGAACCCAAAUCGGAGAAGUGCGUCUUCAUAGAAUACCCAAAGGAAAUUGUUGGGUACACCUUCUAUCACAGAUCCGAAGGCAAGACAUUCGUUGCUAAAAUGGAUCCUUUCCAGAGAAGGAGUUUCUCUCGAAAGAAGUGAGUGGGAGGAGAGUAGAACUUGAUGAGGUAAUUAUACCUUCUCCCUUAUUGGAAAGUAGUUCAUCACAGAAAUCAGUUCCAGUGAUUCCUACACCAAUAAGUGAGGAAGUUAAUGAUGGUGAUCAUCAAACUUCAGAUCAAGUUACUACCAAACCUCGUAGGUCUUCCAGAGUAAGAUCCGCACCAGAGUGGUACGGUAAUCAUGUUCUGGAAGUCAUGUUACUAGACCAUGAUGAACCUACGAACUAUGAGGAAGCAAUGAUGAGCCCAGAUUCCACGAAAUGGCUUGAGGCCAUGAAAUCUGAGAUAUGAUCCAUGUAUGAGAACAAAGUGUAGACUUUGAUUGACUUGCCCGAUGAUCGGUGAGUCAUUAAGAAUAAAUGGAUCUUCAAGAGGAAGACGGACGUUGAUAGUAGUGUUACUAUCUACAAAGCUAGACUUGUCGAAAAAGGUUUUUGACAAAGUUCAAGGUGUUGAAUACGAUGAGAUUUUCUUACUCGUAUCGAUGCUUAAAAGUCUGUCCGAAUCAUGUUAGCAAUUGCCGCAUUUUAUGAUUAUGAAAUUUGGCAGAUGGAUGUCAAAACUGCAUUCUUGAAUGGAUUUCUGGAAGAAGAGUUGUAUAUGAUGCAACCGGAAGGUUUUGUCGAUCCAAAGGGAGCUAACAAAGUGUGCAAGCUCCAGCGAUCCAUUUAUGGACUGGUGCAAGAAUCUCGGAGUUGGAAUAUACGCUUUGAUAAGUUGAUCAAAGCAUAUAGUUUUUGUACAGACUUACGGUGAAGCCUGUAUUUACAAGAAAGUGAGUGGGAGCACUACAACAUUUCUGAUAAGUAUAUGUGAAUGACAUAUUGUUGAUCAGAAAUAAUGUAGAAUUAUUCUGCAAAGCAUGAAAGGAUACUUGAAUAAAAGUUUUUCAAAGAAAGACCUUGGUGAAGCUGCUUACACAUUGAGCAUCAAGAUCUAUAUAGAUAGAUGAAGACGCUUGAUAAGAUUUUUCAAUGAAUACAUACCUUGAUAAAUUUUUGAAAUAGUUCAAAAUGGAACAGUCAAAGAAGGAGUUCUUGCCUGUGUUGCAAGGUGUGAAGUUGAGUAAGACUCAAAGCCCGACCACGGCAGAAAAUAGAAAGAGAAUGAAAGUCAUUCCCUAUGCCUCAGUCACAGGUUCUAUAAAGUGUGCCAUGCUGUAUACCAGAUCUAUUGUAUGCCAUACCACUGAGUUUGGCAAGGGAGUACAAUAGUGAUCUAGGAGUAGAUCACUGGAGAGCGGUCAAAAUUGUCCUUAGUGGAAUAAGGAUAUGUUUCUCGAUUAUGGAAAAAGGUUCGUCGUAAAGGGUUACGCCGAUGCAAGUUUGACACUAAUCUAGAUGACUCUAAGUCUCGAUCUAGAUACAUAUUGAAAGUGGGAGCAAUUAGCUAGAGUAGCUCCAUGCAGAGCAUUGUUGACAUAGAAAUUUGCAAAAUACAUGAGGAUCUGAAUGUGGCAGACCCGUUGACUAAGAUUCUCUCACAAGCAAAACAUGAUCACACCUUAGUACUCCUUGGGUGUUAAUCACAUAGCGAUGUGAACUAGAUUACUGAAUCUAGUAAACCCUUUGGGUGUUGGUCACAUAGCGAUGUGAACUAUGGGUGUUAAUCACAUGGUGAUGUGAACUAUUGCUGUUAAAUCACAUGGCGAUGUGAACUAGAUUAUUGACUCCAGUGCAAGUGGGAGACUGAAGGAAAUAUGCCCUAGAGGCAAUAAUAAAGUUAUUAUUUAUUUCCUUAUAUCAUGAUAAAUGUUUAUUAUUCAUGCUAGAAUUGUAUUAACCGGAAACAUAAUACAUGUGUGAAUACAUAGACAAACAGAGUGUCACUAGUAUGCCUCUACUUGACUAGCUCGUUAAUCAAAGAUGGUUAUGUUUCCUGACCAUGAACAAUGAGUUGUUAUUUGAUUAACGAGGUCACAUCAUUAGUUGAAUGAUCUGAUUGACAUGACCCAUUCCAUUAGCUUAGCACCUGAUCGUUUAGUAUGUUGCUAUUGCUUUCUUCAUGACUUAUACAUGUUCCUAUGACUAUGAGAUUAUGCAACUCCCGUUUGCCGGAGGAACACUUUGGGUGCUACCAAACGUCACAACGUAACUGGGUGAUUAUAAAGGAGCAUUACAGGUGUCUCCAAAGGUAGAUGUUGGGUUGGCGUAUUUCGAGAUUAGGAUUUGUCACUCCGAUUGUCGGAGAGGUAUCUCUGGGCCCUCUCGGUAAUGCACAUCACAUAAGCCUUGCAAGCACUGCAACUAAUAUGUUAGUUGUGAGAUGAUGUAUUACGGAACGAGUAAAGAGACUUGCCGGUAACGAGAUUGAACUAGGUAUUGGAUACCGACGAUCAAAUCUCGGGCAAGUAACAUAGCGAUGACAAAGGGAACAACGUAUGUCGAGAUGCGGUCUGACCGAUAAAGAUCUUCGUAGAAUAUGUAGGAGCCAAUAUGGGCAUCCAGGUCCCGCUAUUGGUUAUUGACCGGAGACGUGUCUCGGUCAUGUCUACAUUGUUCUCGAACCCGUAGGGUCCGCAAGCUUAAGGUUACGAUGACAGUUAUAUUAUGAGUUUAUGCAUUUUGAUGUACCGAAGGUUGUUCAGAGUCCCGGAUGUGAUCACGGACAUGACGAGGAGUCUCGAAAUGGUCGAGACAUAAAGAUUGAUAUAUUGGAAGUCUAUGUUUGGACAUCGGAAGUGUUCCGGGUGAAAUCGGGAUUUUACCGGGUUACCAGGAGGUUACCGGAACCCCCCGGGAGCCAUAUGGGCCAUCAUGGGCCUUAGUGGAAAGGAGAAAGGGGCAGCCCAAGGGGGCUGCGCGCCUCCCCCCUUCCCCUAGUCCUAUUAGGACUAGGAGAGGUGGCCGGCCACCCCUCUCCCUCUUUCCCCCUUGGGAAUCCUAGUUGGAAUAGGAUUGGGGGGGGGGGGUCCUACUCCCGGUAGGAGUAGGACUCCUCCCGCGCCUCUCCCUCUUGGCCGGCGCCCCCUUCCCCCUUGGCUCCUUUAUAUACGGAGGCAGGGGCACCUCUAAACACACAAGUUGACACAAGUUGAUCCUCGUGAUCGAUUCCUUAGCCGUGUGCGGUGCCCCCUGCCACCAUAUUCCUCGAUAAUACUGUAGCGGAGUUUAGGCGAAGCCCUGCUGCUGUAGUUCAUCAAGAUCGUCACCACGCCGUCGUGCUGACGAAACUCUUCCCCGACACUUUGCUGGAUCGGAGUCCGGGGAUCAUCAUCGAGCUGAACGUGUGCUCGAACUCGGAGGUGCCGUAGUUUCGGUGCUUGAUCGGUUGGAUCGUGAAGACGUACGACUACUUCCUCUACGUCGUGUCAUCGCUUCUGCAGUCGGUCUGCGUUGGGUACGUAGACAACACUCUCCUCUCAUUGCUAUGCAUCACAUGAUCCUGUGUGCGCGUAGGAAAUUUUUUGAAAUUACUACGAAUCCCAACAAGUCCCACAAAAGCUAAAAGGCAGGUUGUACAGCGGUGAUUCGACCUGCAAUGUUGUAUGGCGUUGAGUGUUGGGCGACUAAACGGCAUCUACUUGUCAUAUCCUUGCUGACGGUUUCUUGCUCAGAUUUGGGAUCGAGAACGUGAUACUCGGGGAAGAAGAAGAAACCAGAGAGAUAAGGGGUAGGAGGAAAGAAAAUGUGAGCUUAUAUAUAGCUCGUACAUUUUCACACACUCAGCCCACCAGGCUCUCACACUUACAUGGCUGAAAGCCCAAAUGAACAAGACACUCUCAGAUGGCCACUAGUUACUCAAAUAUUUCCCUUGGCGCCGCUCUCGACCUCCUUCAUCUUCUUCUUCCCAUGUUCUGCAGCUGUCAGGGUGACAUCACUGACAGGUCCUGGCUCUCCAGAACCAAGUUGUCCCCUACCUGGGGCAUUUGGAAACUUCUGAUGUGUAGUCUCAUAAUCUUCCUAAGUUGCAUAAGAGGCAGGCAAACCUUUCCAUUGAAGGAGCGCUUGCAGCAGAAAGCAUUACCUUUCUUAACCAAGUGCCGAUCCAAAAUAAGUUCAGGCUGAAGAUCUUCCGUAUCAAGUAACAGAGGUGCUGGUGAAGUGGUAAAGAUUGGAGUGUGGUCAGGGGUCUGUUGUUUCAAUUGAGACGCACAAAACACCGGAUGCACCUGACUACUCGCAGGAAUAGCAAGCUGAUAUGCCACUGGACCUAUUUUCUCCAGAAUUUUGUAGGGACCAAAAUACUUGAAAGCUAAUUUGAGAAAUGGCCGCUUGAUCACCGAUGGUUUAGCAUAAGGUUGAAGCUUUAGAAACACAUAAUCUCCAACCUGGAAUUCCCUUGGUGAUCUGUGUUAGGAAGUCUUUCCUAACAAUCUGUUCUUAUCUUCCUCAGACUUCAUUUUGCACUGAGCCCUGUAUAGUCGAACUUUUAGAUGUUCAGAGUAUAAAUGCCACUCAUGCAGCCAACUCUCCAAGUCAGUAUUGUCGGUAGCUUGAGGGCGAGGCAAUUCUCCCAGGUGUGGCUCAUGACCAUAAAGGGCUUUAAAAGGAGAACCACCCAAGGAGGAAUGAUGAGACAUAUGAGCAGUCGCCGCCCACCCUCGUGCACCUGGAUCGCGUGUUCUGCACAUCAGACUGGGAGGACGCGCACGGCGACUGCCACCUACGGUGCCUCGCUUCCGUCGUGUCAGACCACUGCCCACUCCUCCUCGACUGCUCACCCACGCACGCGGCGCACCGACGCUUCCACUUUGAGGACUUUUGGACGGGUUCCACGAAACGGUGGCCACGGCUUGGGGAUCUGCCCAUGACACGGACCCCUUCCGGCGGCUAAUGUUGCGCCUCCAGGCUACUGCCCGCGCGCUGACUAGCUGGAGCGCCAAGUCCAAGGGGAACAUCCGCGACAAGCUUGCGAUCUCCCGAGAGCUGAUCUUGCGCUUCGACAAGGCCCAGGAGGACCGUGUCCUCUCCCCUCCCGAAGACUGGUUGCGGAAACAGCUAAAGAUCGCCUACCUUGGGCUGGCGUCCUUGGAGCGCACGAUCGCAAGGCAACGGGCACGGAUCGCCACCCUCAGGGACGGAGACGCUAACACGGCCUUUUUCCAUCGUCAGUGUUCCUAUCACCGGCAGAAAAAUCAUAUAUUCAGCCUCACCGUGGAUGGACAUGUGAUCACGGAUCAAGAGGGGAUGGCGCAGGCGGCCUUCGCACACUUCGACGAGCUGCUGGGCACAACCGGCAGACGCGACCACUCGCUGGACUUGGCGCAGCUCGUAGAGCCGAGUGACCUGGCAAGCCUGGAUGCCCCGUUCACUCCCAACGAGAUAUGGGAUGGGGUCAAACGCCUCCCGGCCCGCAAGGCGCCCGGACCCGACGGCUUUACAGCCGAAUUUCUGCGGGCCUGCUGGGGCAUCGUCAGGCAAGACUUCUUCGACGUCUUCCAACAACUCUACGAGCUGCACGGUCGAGGCUUCAGCAAGCUUAACCAAGCACUCUUGACUCUGCUCCCGAAGCGCGCCGACGCCUGCCAUCUCCGUGAUUAUCGCCCGAUCUGCCUGAUUCACCUUGUGGCGAAGAUCUUCGCGAAAGUGCUCUCACUACGCCUAGCGCCCAGGCUGACGGACUUGGUUAGCCGGAACCAGAACGCUUUCAUCCCGGGUCGGAGUCUCCACGACAACUUCGUCCUUGUCAGGCAAUCAAUGAAGAUGAUGCACCAACUUGGGGCCCCAAGAGUCAUGCUAAAACUUGACCUCACACGAGCGUUCGACUCCCUAUCCUGGCCCUUCCUCUUCGAAGUGCUGGGCCAGUAUGGGUUUGGGCCCAGAUUUAGGAAAUGGCUCGCAAUUCUGCUCUCGACCUCGAGCACCCGGAUCAUGCUAAAUGGCGAGCCAGGGCCGCCAAUAUGGCACCGAUGCGGACUGCGCCAAGGUGACCCCGUGUCGCCACAGCUCUUCGUGCUCGCCGUGGACACCCUCGGACGCCUUAUCCGCCGCGCCCACGAUUCUGACAUCCUGCAGCAGCUGCACCCGCGGCGUACAAUACCGGCCAUCUCCUUAUACGCCGACGACGUGAUGAUAUUCUGCCACGCUACUCCAGGCGACAUGGAGGCAAUCAAGGGCAUCGUAAGCCUGUUCGGAGGAGCCAGCGGCCUACGGGUGAAUUACACCAAGAGCUCAGCCACCAUCUUACACGGCGACCCCGACGCGGCCACAACGAUUGCUCAAGCAGGAUGCGCGAUGGCCGAGCUGCCCAUCACCUAUCUUGGCAUUCCACUUACGCUGCGACGCCCCUCCGCCACCUAGCUACAGCCCCUCGUCAAUUCCGUGGCUGCUAGGCUCCCUGCAUGGAAGGCAUGGCUCAUGAACAAGGCCGGAAGACUAGCACUGGUCAAAUCGGUGCUCUCAGCCAUCCCGGUCCACCAAAUGCUUGCAUUUGCCCCACCCAAGAAGAUGCUCAAGCAGCUGGAAAAGAUCCAACGAGGCUUCCUAUGGGCUGGACGCGCAACAGCCAACGGUGGACACUGCCAUGUCAACUGGCGCAAUGUGUGCCGGCCGUUGGAGCACGGCGGCUUGGGGAUCCGGGACCUGGAGCGUGCCGGCCUAGCGCUGAGGCUGCGAUGGCUAUGGUACGCGCACACGGACGACGACCGCGCUUGGCAAGGGCUCGACCUCCAAUUCUCUAGAGAGGAGCGCACGCUAUUCUUCGCCUCCACCACCAUGGUCCUUGGGGAUGGAGCGACGGCCCUGUUCUGGGAAGAUCGCUGGCUACAUGGACAGUCAGUUUGCGAGCUCGCCCCUGCGCUACAUCAAUGCAUCCCCAAGCGGCUACGCAAGGCGAGAACGGUGGCGGAAGGCCUAAUGGGCAAUGCUUGGGCAUGAGACAUCCAAGGGGUGCUUGGGAUCCACGAGAUUGGGCAAUACCUCAUGCUAUGGCAGGCCGUGCAGAACAUCUCCCUCAUGCACGAGCCUGACCGAUUGCGCUGGAGGUGGACGUCCAGCGGCACCUACACAGCACAAUCUUGCUAUGCCGCAACAUUCCAUGGAUCCACGAGGUGCCCUUCUUGGAAGCUGACAUGGAAGAGUUGGGCACCGCUGCGUGUCCGGUUCUUUCACUGGCUUGCCAACCAGGACCGCUGCUGGACGGCGACAUGCCUAGCGCGCCACGGCCUGCCACACCACCCAAGAUGCCUCCUAUGCGAUCAGGCCCCUGAGACAAUCCAGCACCUGCUCCUGGCCUGGCCAUUCUCCAGGCAGAUCUGGCAUGCCAUCCUGGACUGGACACGCAUCCCCUUGCAGCCACCGAACAGCGAGCCGACGCUCAUGGACUGGUGGCAGAAAACGAAAAGGCAGACGCCCCACGCGCUGCGCAAAGGCCUACAGUCCAUCGCCAUGCUCAUCCCAUGGAUGAUAUGGAAGCACCGGAACGAAUGCGUCUUUGAAAAUGCGCGACCCUCGGUAGAAGAUUUAGUGGAUAGGAUUAAGGCCGAGGCCAAGUGCUGGGCACAAGCCGGGGCACAGGGGCUCAGGAUUAUCCUGCCCACAUCCUGGGACGUCCACUGAAGGGGUACUUGACCCUUGUAGCACUAGCCUCCUAGGAGGAUUGUAAUCUCCCAUCUUUUCAAUGCAAUGAAGCGCAAAUCCUUUGCGUUUUCUCGAAAAAUAUUGUACCAGAAUUUUGCUAAGGGAAGCCAAUUAACCCAUUUAGUAGGUGUGUCAUUAAUAGAGCAUCUGAGAUACAUUUAUAAACACUGAUUGACUCUCUCAGAUUGCCCAUCAGUUUGAGGAUGUCGAGCAGUAGACAUCUGAAGUUUGGAUCCCCACAAAGUAAACAAUUCUUUCCAAAAUUUGCUCGUGAACAAUGGAUCUCUGACUCUAUCAGAAGUGAUUGUGUAAGGCACACUAUGUAACUUGACAAUUUUCUGUAAGAAUAACUGAGCAACUGAAGCUGCGGUGUAUGGAUGUUUCAAUGGAAUCAAAAAUCUGUCCACCACCACCAGGAUGACAGAAUUGUUAGAUAAGUGAGCAACUAGUAUUUCCUAAGGGCCAAAGGCCAUUACAUAUACAUGUGUGUCAAAGUGCAGAAAACCCCUUAUACAAUGGGGAUAUACCGAAAAGGGACUAUACACAUCUAACACCCCCCUCAAACUCAUGGUGGAUCAACAACACUGAGUUUGGAGAGGAAAAAGCCGUGCUACGCUCGAGUCUGUGCCUUGGUGAAGAAGUCCGCCAACUGUAACUCAGAGGGCACAUAGUGAAGAGCGAGAGUCUGAUCCUGCACAGCAGCACGCACAAAGUGGGCAUCCACACCGAUGUGCUUGGUGAGCUCAUGCUUCACCGGGUCACGCGCAAUACUGAUAGCGCCAGUACUGUCUGACAGUAGGGGAGUCGAGGUAGUAGCAAACACACCAAAAUCCUCAAGUAACCACCGUAACCAGAUCACCUCAGCCGUCAACAUAGCCAUGGCUCGCAACUCAGCCUCUGUACUCGAGCGAGAAACUGCAGUCUGUUUCUUUGUCUUCCAGGCAAUGAGGGAGCCACCAAGAAAGACACAAUAAGCAGAGAACGAGCGGCGAUCAGAGGGAUCACUAGCCCAGGUCGCAUCAGAGUAGGCCUGGAGCUCAAGAGAGCUGGAGCGGGGAAAGAAAAGGCGUUGAGAGAUCGUGCCACGAAGAUAUCGUAGAACACGGAGGAGGUGACUAUAGUGGACGGAGGUGGGAGCUGCGACAAAUUGACUCAGGAUGUGGACAGGAUAGGAGAUGUCAAGACGCGUAACAGCAAGAUAGACAAGGCUGCCAACGAGGUGAUGAUAGCGAGUGGGAUUAGGGAAAGGGUCACCAUCGGUGGCACGAAGCUGAACGUUGAGCUCCAUAGGAGUCACAACCGUGCGCUCAUCACCGAGAGCAGCGCGAGCAAGAAGAUCCUGAAUAUAUUUUUCUUGGGAGAUGUAGAAGCCAUCAGAGGUUGAGGAGAUCUCAAUCCCAAGAAAGUAGCUAAGUGGACCAAGAUCAGUCAUAAGAAACUGGUCGCGAAGGCGAGCCUUAACAAAGGCAAUGUAAUCAGUGUCGUCACCAGUGAUGAUCAUGUCAUCAACAUAGAGAAGGAGAAGAGUCCGACCACAAGGAGACGUGUGAACAAACAGCGCGGGAUCAUGGUCACUGGGCAAGAAACCAGCAGCGGUCACCACAGAUGCGAAGCGCUCAAACCAGGCGCGAGGGGCCUGUUUGAGACCAUAUAGGGAGCGGCGAAGUCUACAGACCAUACCAUCAGGAGCAUAGUACCCCUGUGGUGGCUGCAUAUAAACCUCCUCACGCAACUCGCCAUUGAGAAAAGCGUUCUGAACAUCAAGUUGAGAGAUAGACCACUGACGAACAGAAGCCACAACAAGAAGAGUGCGGACAGUGGUCAUGUGGGCCACAGGAGCGAAUGUCUCAUCAUAAUCGCGCCCCUGCUCCUGCUGAAAGCCACAGGCCACAAGACGAUCUUUGUAGCGCUCAAGAGAACCAUUAGAGCAAGUCUUAAGCUUGUAGACCCACUUGUAGGUGAUGGGACGAACACCGGAAGGGAGGGGAACCAGAUCCCAUGUGCCAGAGCGCUCAAGGGCAGCGAGCUCCUUGGCCAUCGCAAGCUGCCAUUCAGGCUGAGUCAUGGCAAUGUGAUAGGAAGUGGGCUCAGUCAAAACAGAGAGACCGUACCGAUCAGGGGAGUAGCGAUCAGGCGGAGGGCGAGGCCGAGCAUGGAGGUUGUGAACCGGGGGAGGCAUGAGAGGAGGUGCACCAGAGGUGGAAGGCUCGUCAGAGGAGACAUCCUCAGUACGAGAUCGACGAGUAUAGUGGAAAGGAAACGAUGAGAGAGGGUGACAGACUGGAGAGGAUGGGGGAGAGGUGGAGGAGGAGGAUGGGGAAGACGGGGUCGGUGGUGAAUGAGAAGGAAUGAGAGGUGCCUGAGGAAGAGGUGACACAUGAGGCACAUAGCAGGGUGUAUCGGGAAGAAGAAGGAAAGAAAGAUCGUCCACAGAGAAACUCGAGGAAGAAGGACGUGGGUAGUAAGAGCGAGACUCGUUAAAAGUCACAUCACGCGAGAUGCGCAAGCGACGACCCACUGGAUCCCAACAUCGAUAGCCCUUGUGCUCAUCACUGUAGCCAAGGAAAACACACUCAACUGACUGAGCAGUCAGUUUGGUGCGUUCUCGGGGGGCAAGAAGAACAUAGCAGAUGCAUCCAAACAUACGAAGAGCUGAGUAGUCUGGGGAGCGACCAGUGAGACGCUCCAUAGAAAUGCCACCCUGCAGAGCAGUCGAUGGCUGAAUGUUGAUGAGAUAGGUGGAUGCGGAAACAGCCUCAGCCCAAAAAUGGGGUGGAAGGGAAGCAACAAUCAUCAGCGCACGAGCCGUCUCAAGCAAAUGACGACGCUUUCGCUCGGCAACGCCAUUCUGAGCAUGAGCACCAGGACAGGAGAACUGGGCAAGAGUUCCUUGUUCCGCGAUAAAACCACGCAACAGCUAAGAGAUAUACUCUCCAGCGGAGUCAGCACAAAAAGUACGAAUGGGCGUGGCAAACUGGGUGUGAACCAUGGCAUCAAAAUGUUUGUAUAUAGAGACAACCUCGCUACGAGAUUUCAUGAAGUAGAGCCAAGUGUAGCGAGAGAAAUCAUCAAUAAACAAAACAUAGUAGCGAUGACCACCUUUCGAAUCAAAGGGAGCAGGACCCCCAGACAUCAGAAUGAACUAAGUCAAAAUGACGCUGAGAUACAGACUCACUAGUAGGAUAAGGUAACUGAGUCUGUUUGCCAAGUCUGCAACCAUUACAAUGUAAGAAGACAUCUCCAGAUACAGACCCUAAGAGACCCUGACGAACUAAGGAAGACAAGCGAGAGCCAUAGAUGUGACCAAGUCGAUGAUGCCACUGCUGGAAGGACGCAGACGAAGAGGCAGCAAGAGCAUGAGAGCUGGCAGAUGUGGUGGCAGCGGAAGGAACACAAAGCCAGUCAACCUCCCAAAGGCCCUCUGACUCACGGCGCCGGGGGCCAGCACCAACCAAAGUCUUGGUGCGACGAUCCUGAAUGGAGCAAGAGUCGGUAUCAAGAAUGACACGACAACCAGAAUCAGUAAGUUGGGCAGCGGAAAAAAGAUUCAUGGUUGGCGAGGAACAUGUGAAACACUCGAAAUAGAAAAAGAUGGAGUGGAAAGAAUACCACGACUAGCAACAGGAAGAGAUGUGCCAUCGGCAGUAAGAACAUUAACAGGCGAAUCAAGAGGUCGGAGAGAAGACAACGCAGAAGAAUCAGAAGACAUAUAAAAGGAGAUUCCAGAAUCCAGGACCCACGAAGAUGUACCUGACUGUGUAGAUGCCUGUGAUGGUGAGGAGGAGGAUGCAGUCACAGCAGCAGCAGAACCAGUCAACGAGGAGCCUGAGGAAGCAAGAAGACGCUUAAGGCGAACAAUGUCCUGGUCAGUGAGUGACGGAGUCGAGGAAGACACAGGAGGCCCGCUGGAGGAGGAGCGCCUUUGGUCUCGCUUCUUCUGGCGACAAUCAAACUCUGGGUGACCCGGCCGGGAGCAGUAACCACAGACGGUGUCACGGCGCAACGUGCCCUUCUCAGCAUAAGAAGGACGGCUCACCCCCCCUGGAGGAGUAGGCAGGAGCGGCGGAGCAGUGAGGCGAGCAGACGACAUAGGAGCCCGGGCAGCCAAUACUAAAGGAAUCACAAGUAACCCAGCAGAGCGAAGUUGGGUCUCCUCAGCACGAAGCUCAGCAAGUACCUCCGAGAUAGGAACACGACCACGAGCAAGCAGGUGAGCACGUCGAGGCUCAAACUCAGAGCGGAGACGAGAUAAGAACUCAUGAACCCACUGAAACUCCAAAUCGGACCGUGUAGUCUGACAGCAACGGCAAGUUCCACAAACAACUGUCCGAAGAGAGUCAAGCUGGCGCCAGAUGGCAGAACACUGUGAAUAGAACUCAUCAACAGAGGAAUCACCUUGCUGAAGUGCAUGCUCCUGACGCACCACGGAUAGGUAGAGAGCAUCACCAGAAGGCUGAUAUCGCUGAUAGAGGUAAGACCACAUCGCUGCAACUGUGCCAAGUCCCAUGAACUCUGAAGCAAACUGAGGGAGGACACUCGCAGUGAGAACAGCAGCAGCACGCGCAUCAUUAUUGCACCACUGAGUGUAGGCAGACAGAUCAUCACGGUACACAGAAAGAGCAUCUGAAUAAGCUGAUACCUGUUGGUCAUAAGCAUCACCUGCAACAUCAUCGAGAGCCUUGGCUGCAUCCCGGUCAGCCUGAGAAGCAUCAGCAGCAAGUACCGGCGGUACCGGUGGGAUUGGGGCCGCAGGUGCAACAAGGCAUGACGGACAAGGGACCUCUCCAGAGAGAACACCCCACAGAAGAAGGCCACACAUAUGAAUGCGCAUGAAGCCCACAAACUCAGCAUAGUUUGUGCCAUCAAAGAUCACCGAACACCUAGGAACAGCGACAUAGCCCGAAGAAGACAUGACGAGGUCUUCUGUUGCUCUUUCUGUUUAGUCUCUCCUUUUUUUGGUAAGUCAACGCACCCGACACACCCGAUCUGGAUCGGGCUGGAGAGCAAGCGAGGCAGCCCCGCUCGAUCUGAAGCAGGGGGCGCAAGGACGGGCGACCCGACCAAGCUCGAUUUGAAGCAGGGCGGCCUGGCUCUGCUCGAUAGGAAGCAGGGGCGGGGGAGGCAGCCAAGGGCUAGCGGCGCCCGAGGAACAGCCGAGGGCGGCUGCAGCCGGCCGGGAUGGGAGCGCCGGCGACCCGGGAACAGCCGAGGGCGGCGGCAGCCGGUCAGGACGGGGGCGUCGGCGGCCAGGCACGUGGAGGGCAACCGGAUCCAGAGGCAGGGUGGCGGCGGCCGGUCGGGACGGGGGCGGCGGCGGCCAGGCGCGUGGAUCCAGAGGCGGGGUCGGCCGGAGGAGAAGGUGCCUGGUCCGAGCAGGCUGCAGGAGCGAGCGCCGGGUCCAGUCAGUAGCAGGAGCCGUGCCAGACCAAGAGGAGGAUGACGGCAGCAAGAAUCGAGGUAAGGUAGGAGGAAGGCGCACGGAGUUGCGUCGUGCGAGAGAGCGAGGCUAACCUAGCAUACCUAGCAUCUGAUACCAUGUUAGAUAAGUGAGCAACUAGUAUUUCCUGAGGGCCAAAGGCCAUUACAUAUACAUGUGUGUCAAAGUGCAGAAAACCCAUUAUACAAUGGGGAUAUACCGAAAAGAGACUAUACACAUCUAACAAGAAUAACCACAAGAAUUAGGCAGACCUUCAAUAAAAUCCAUGGUCAAAUCCUCCCAGGCACCUUUGUGGAACAGGCAGCGGGUUAAGGAAACCUGGAUACUUGAAUUGUUCAUGUUUAGCCUGCUGAGAGAUCUGACAUUCUGGAAAAAUUUGUGAUCGCUUGGUUUAGGCCAGUCCAGUGAAACUCUGAUAAGUUGCCUGAUUUCCAAAAUGCCCCCCCUAUAGGUCUAGCAUGAAAGGCCUCAAUUGUUUUGGUUUGCAACCCUGAAUUAGCCCCAAUCCAAACAACCCCCCUGGUGUUUUAGUAACCCAUUAUGCGGAGUAAAGUCUGGGACUCCAUCAGGAGUAAGAGCUAACUUCUGCAGUAACUCAUGAGCUUCUUCCCUAAAAAAAUUCAUGAGCUUCUAAAUCUACUGCAUAGGAGCUAACAACUUCCUGUAACCACAAAAGCAUGCCCAAUUCUUGAAAGUGCAUCUGCUGCCUUAUUGUCUACUCCCUUUUUGAACUGAAAUUUGAAUUGUAGCCCAAUUAACUUAGUCAUGGCUUUUCUCUGCAAGUAUGAAGUAAGAAUUUGAUACUCCAAAUUGCACCAAAUGUCCUCUAGAAACAUAUGGCCUCCAUCUAUCCACAACCAUCAUAACUGCUAAAAACUCCUUUUCUUAAAUGAACGGUUUGCUAUUGCUAAUACCCAGAGCUUUACUAUAGUAUGCCAUUAUAUAACCUUGUUAACUGAACAUACCACUUGUACGAGAGUCACAUGCAUCUCUGUUUCAAUACAGAAGGGAUGUGUGAAAUCUGCUAGACGUAAAACAGGAGUGUUACUCAUAGCUUGCUUGAGCUGGUCAAAUGCCACUUGUGCUUCUGGAUACCAAUGCAAAGCCUUCUUUUGCAGAAGUGUAGUUAAUGGUUUUGCCAGAAUAUCAUAAUUUUUGACAAAGUUCAUAUAGUAUCCUGUCAAUCCCCAAAAUCCCCUUAAUUAUGUCGCAAUAGUGGGAAUGGGCCACUGUAACAUAGCUUUUGUCUUCUCAGACUCUGUGGCAACUCCCUUGUCAGAAAUGAUGUGACCUAGGUACUCCAGUUGUUGCUAAGGAAAGAAACACUUGCUCUGUUUUGAAAAUAACAGAUGUUUUCUGAGAAUAUCCAGACCUAGUUUCAGAUGCAUAACAUGGGACUCCAAGUCUUUGCUAUGAACUAAUAUAUCAUCCAUGAAAACCAAUACACAAAUUUUAUGAUAUAGGGUGCAAACACAACAUUCGUGAGGCACUAAAAGGUAGCUGGGGCAGUUGUCAGCCCAAAGGGCAUAACCCUGAAUUGAAAUUUCCCAUGAUGAGUUCUAAAUGCAGUUUUAGCUUCACCUUCCUCUACCAUUCUAAUCUGGUGAUAGCCUGCCCUGAGGUCCAGCUUAGAAAAUCACUUGGUUCCAGCUAACUCAUCCACCACAGGCAUUGGGAAUUUGCUUUUAAUUGUCAGCAAGUUAAGUCUUCUAUAGUCCACUCAGAAUCUCCAUGUCCCAUCUUUUUUCUUGACUAAAAGCACAGGAGAGGCAAAAGGGUCAUACUGGGUGUCACUAUGCUAGCAACAAUCAUUUCAGAGACUUGCUUCUCAAUUUCAUCCAUUUGCAAUGUGGAAUACCUGUAGGGUCUUGAAUUAACUGAAGCACUGUAAGGUAGUGAUGAGAGGCAUGAUCAUAAGCCCUAUGAGAUUGCAACUAUUGUGGAUUUUGAAACACAUCAGUGUAUUCAGGGAGGAGUCGCUGAAUACUUUCAGUUGUAGUUCGCACUGAUACUGCUGCCUCGACAGUUAAUAUUCCAGUAGCCCAGACAUCAUUACCUUCCACACAUUUUUCAAACUGUUCAACAGUCAAUUCUUGCAGUUGUGUAACUGGCUUAUCUUUCAUGCCUUGUAAAGUAACAGUGUGACCCUUGUCCUGAACUAUAUCCAUUUCUCCUCCCAGUGGCAUGUCAUAGGACCCCACUGUGCUAACCAAUCCAUGCCCAAGAUGACAUCAUAACCUCCCAGGGGUACUACUUCAUGUAUGUGGUAAAUGUACGAACCAUGAACCCCUUGUUCACAAGUCAUUGGCCACUUUAACUUUCAGAGGAAGAGGUAGUGUUUUGGUGUUACACUAAAUUUUGUCAGGUAGUUGCUGAUCAGUGAAAGUGUGAGAACUACCAGAGUCCACUAAUAGCAACAUGACCUGAUUAGUUACCAUGGCUCUUAGUCUGACCGUUUCAGGGUUGUUUGUUCCAGAGAAUGCAUUGACAGACAAGAAUGCAGCAGCCUCAGCUAUAGUUUCUGUCAGCUAGCUGCUGAUCAGUGAAAGUGUGAGAACUACCAGAGUCCACUAAUAGCAACAUGACUUGAUUAGCUACCAUGGCUCUUAGUCUGACCGUCUUAGGGUUGUUUGUUCCAGACAAUGCAUUGACAGACAAGAAUGCAGCAGCCUCAGCUACAGUUUCUUCCACUACAAGAGCAUCCAGCAUUGCAUCCUCUAUAUACACCUGUUCCCCCCUGUGGUUUCAAUAGCCUUCACUUGAGCCUCAUUUUUCGUGCAUACAUGUCCAGGAGCAUAUUUGUCUCACAGCUGUAACACACUUUGCUUUGCAGAGAUUCCCAGCAGCAAACUGAGUUCGCUGAACAGGUUCUUGUUGUGGUAUAUACCGAAAAAGGCUUUCGCCCCACUUUAAAUUAUAAAGCAACCGCCCAAACCAAGCAUCCAACAGGGUUCCAUACAAGUCCACACACACGCACACGGAGGUCCACAGGUACACAGACAAGACAUAAGGGUCAAUGCUGAGGGCACAUCACAACAAGCCCUAAACACACACAACACAAAGCCACGAGACGGCCUAGUCAGGCUCUGGCGGAGGGGGCGGCAGCGGGCGAGCCAAGCGGAGCGCCAUCAAGCGAAGGUCGGUGAGGAGGGUGGUGAUGACGUCCCGGUCCUGGGGGCGGCUAAGCGGCCGCCAAAGCUGCAAGUAACCACACAUUUUGAAGAUAGCGUCAGUCGCACGUCGGAGAGGCACCUUCUGAAUGACAAGCUUGUUGCGAAUGUUCCAAAGCGUCCAGGCGAGGAUCCCAAUGCACAACCAUCUCAUAUGGCGGUAGCGAGUAGGGGAGGCGUUGAGUUCCGCAAGUAGGUCGGGGAAGUUGGUAUUGCACCACUGUCCACCGACCGUUUCGCGGAAGCAAGCCCACAUGAACUGGGCAGUAGAGCUCGAGAAGAAGAUGUGGUUAGCAUCCUCGAUCGUGCCAUAGAUGGGACAUCUCCCAUCGCCUGAGCCGUUACGCUUGAGGACUUCAACCCCGGAGGGGAGGCGUCCACGGAUCCAUUGCCACAGGAAGAUCCUGAUCUUCAGAGGGAGGCGGAUGUCCCAGAUCAGGCUAAAGGGUUCCGGGGCCGUCGAGGGCGUGAUGGCGGCGUACAAGGACUUCGUGGAGAAGCGGCCAAAUGGCUCAAGGUGCCAAGAAAUGGCAUCCUGGUCCUCCUCGACGUUCAUCGACAUAAGGGUCACAUCUUGGAGGAGGGAGUCCCAAGCAGCCACCUCGAGGGGGCCGAAGGGGCAACGGAAAGCAAGACGCCCUAAGUCAAUAAGGGCCGUCUCGACAGAGACCCGAGGGUCGGCCGCAAUGGCAAAGAGAUCUGGGAAUCGCACAGCCAAGGGGGAGUCUCCUAGCCAUCGGUCGAACCAGAACAGGGUCGAGGACCCGAAGCCAACAGAGAUGGAAGUACCGAUGCGGAGGAUGGGCAGAAGCUGGAUCACGGACUGCCAGAACUGGGAUCCACCCAUACGCUGGCAAAAGGCCAGAGGUUGGCCCCUAAGGUAUUUAUUACGGAUGAUGGUAAGCCAGAGGCCUCCCUCCCCAUUGGCGAUGCGCCACAGCCAGCGGGUCAGGAGAGUGAUGUUCAUGCGACGAGAUGAUAGGAUCCCAAGGCCACCCUGGUCUUUGGGUUUGCAAAUGUCGGGCCAGCUCACCAUGUGAUACUUCUGCUUGUCUCCCUCGCCCGCCCAAUAGAACCUCGACUAGUAUUUAGCGACCUCCUGAUGGAGGGUCUCAUGGAGGCUGUAGAAGCUCAUGAGAAACCAGAGAAGCCUAGCAAGCGAGGAGUUGAUUAGAAUCAUCCUGGCCUCUUUCGACAGCCAACGUCCCCGCCAAGGUUCAACCCGGUGCUGCAUCCUAGUCACCGUCGGGCGGAGAUCAGCCACGGUGAGCCUGGAGUCACUAAUGGGUAUCCCCAGGUAGGUCAUGGGGAAGGAACCCAAGUGGCAGUUCAGCCGGUCCGCAAUGGACAACGCCUCCUCCGGAGGGUAGCCAAGGACCAUCACUUUGCUCUUAUCGAAGUUAAUGGUGAGCCCAGACAUCUGUUGGAAACACAAGAGGAACUUUAGGUUGGUGAUGUCGGACGCGGAGCCCUCCACCAUAACUAUGGUGUCAUCCACAUAUUGGAGGAGGGAGACCCCUCCCCCACCCACAAGGUGGGGGACAACGCCGCGGAGAUGGCCACAAGUUUUGGCCUUAUCAAGAAUGCCUGCGAGGGCAUCGACAACCAUGUUGAAUAGAAACGGGGAGAACGGAUCGCCCUGGCGCACCCCACAUAAGGUGGGGAAGUAAGGUCCGAUCUCGCCGUUGAUGUUGACCGCCGUCCGACCGCAGGUGACCAAUUGCAUAACGCGGGUCACCCAACGGUCGUCGAAACCCUUACGAAGCAGAACUUCCCGAAGGAAGGGCCAGUGGACAGUGUUGUAGGCUUUGUGGAAGUCUAACUUUAGGAAGACUGCGCGGUGGUGUUUGGAGCGGACUUCGUGGAGGACCUCGUGAAAGACCAACACCCCAUCCAAAAUGAACCGGCCUUGGAUGAAGGCGGAUUGGUUUGGGUGGAUGACAGAGUCCGCAAGAAGGGUCACCCUAUUGGUGUACCCUUUAGCCAAGAUCCUGAAGAUCACGUUGAUCACCGUGAUCGGGCAGAAUUGGCGAAUGUCGGAGGCCCCCGAAACCUUGGGGCUGAGGGCAAUGAUCCCAUAGUUUAAGCGCCCAAGGUCCAUGGUCCCAGAGAAGAACUCGUCGAAGAGGGCCAUGACCUCCGGUUUGAUGGUUUGCCAGAACGUUUUGAAGAACGAGACUGGCAAUCCAUCCGGACUCGGAGCCGAGGAGGGGUUCAUGCCCUUGAUCGCCGCUAGGACCUCCUCCUCCGAGAAGGGGGCCACCAAGGCCGCGUUGGCCUCGUCGGAAACUAGCUAGGCACCCGACCAGGUGUCGGGAGCCAGCGCAGCCCCACCCCGAGGGGUGGGGGAGAAAAGGGCUUUAUAAAAGCCGUCUACGUGGACUUGGAUGUCCGAGGGGCGAGUGAGCUGAGUAUCACCGUCCCACAGAGAGUGGAUGGAAUUCCGACGAUGCCGGCCAUUGGCGAUCGCCUGGAAGUAAGCCGUGUUAACGUCACCACGGAGCACCCACCACUGGGUGCCGCACAGCCUCCAGUAAGCCUCUUCGUCAAAGUAGAUGACCGAGAGCUCAUCCUCGAGAUCAUAUCUCACCAUCCACUCGUCUGGAGAGAUCCCGGACGAGUCAGCGCGAGCGUCCAGGGCCUGGAUGGCACACAUGAGGGCCUUCUUGCGCUCACGAAGAUCACGUCCAAAGUUCGUGCCCCAACCCUUCAUAAAUUGGCGGGCCAGCUUGGCACAGAACUGCCAAGAGUCAACGGCGGACAUGGCAUGGUGAGGAGCGUCUCGCGCGGCGAUCCACUUGGCCGCAACGGCCUUGCGGAAUCCAGCCUGGUUGAGCCAGAAGAGCUCAAACCGGAACCGAGGAGGGACGGGGGUGGGGGGGGCGUUCAUCCGCGGAGGAGAGGAGUAGGGGAACGUGGUCCCGAUCCGGGUGAUGGCCUGCAACGAGGCCAUGGGGCAUCUAAGCUCCCAAUCCGGAGAGACUAGGACGCGGUCCAGAACGGACUACAUUGGGUUCGCCUGGCGGUUGGUCCAGGUGAACCGGGCCCCCGUUCGCUCAAGCUCAUGGAGGCCAAGCUCCGCAAUGCAGUCGUUAAACAUCUGCAUCUGGGGACGGUUAACCCUGUCGUUAUUCUUCUCAUCCGGAGAGUGGAUGAGGUUAAAGUCACCUCCCACCACCACUGGGAGGGAGGAAGCGGAGAUCUUUUGUUGUAGCUCAGCGAGGAAGGUCGGGGAGCGGCGGUGGUCCGCCAGUCCGUAGACAAUGAUGACCUCCCACUUAAAAUUGAGAGCCCACUCGAAGAUCUCCAUACUAAUGAAGAACUCGCCCCGGUCCAUACCGCCCACCUCAAAGGUGGCAUCCUUCACACCUAACAGGAUGCCACCUGAGUGGCCAUUGUUCCCACUAGAAGGGAGCCAAUGCCAGGCAAACAGGUGGGAGCUAAGGCUGUCAAGCUCGGGAAGACAGAACUCCGUGCGCAUGGUUUCUUGGAUGGCAAUGAUGUCUAUGUGUUCGGCACGGAUGUACUCAACUAGCUGGCGGCGGCGGCCGUCAUGGCCAAAGCCGCGGAUGUUCCAGAAGAGGGCGCGCAUCUAAACCGCCAUAGAGGGGCUGCUUGACCCCAGGACGGUGGAUGCGCUGUGAGCUCUGAGCGCGGCAGUGCGGGAGCGAGUGCGGCCACGGAUUUCCUCGACUAGCACCACAGAAGGAGGCUGGGGCGCCGGCGUGCGGAGGAGGCGGGCCUGGGUUUCGGCGAGUUUCCCGUCAAGGAUCUCGCGAGCCUGAAUAGCCGCAAUCUGCUCUAAGGGGUGGGGGGCACUUCCCCCCUGAAAACUACAGCCGAGUCUAGGGCCACCUUGGCAAGGCGGCCGAGCGGGACCGCUUCAAGCGUAGAAAACGAACAGCUGGAAGAACUGGAGGGGAUGUCGGUCGCACCUGUCUCGAGGUUCCAGGCCGCAGCCCGGAUCUCAGCCCGCUCGGAGAUGGACGACGUCGGGAAGCUGGCCGGGCGGUCCGCAUCGAGACGGGCACUGCGGUGGAAGGCAGUCAUCGGAGUCGACGAGGCCCGAGCCCGACGGACGUACGACACACCGACCGAGGCGGGUGGGAGGCGACGGGGGUGACCACAUCAGCGGAGGCCACCAGGAGCAGGCGAGGCGGUGACGCAGGCGCCGGAGGCUCCAGCAGGGCACUGGACCCUGCCAGGGCAGGAGAGGGCGGGCCCGGGGCCGACGAGUCGAUCUCCGGGGCGGGAGCAGGCGCCAGGGGAGAGGCGGGGGACGACGGCGUGUCCUCCCCAGGGGGGUCCGCCGGGGGAGACCCGAGGCGAGGGGGGCCCGACGCAGGCGAGUCCGGCUGCAGCGGAGAAGGCACCGUCGGGGACGGAGGAGGCGGGGCGGCCGCGGGGACGGAGGACGGCGAACACGGCAAAGAUGCCGGGAGGACGAGGAGACUGACGUUGGAGAUGUCGCUGAGCUCGGCCGAAGAGGAGAGGGAGGAGACGGGCAGCGCGGCGGGGGCGGCCUCGGCGGAGGCCAACCCACGCGACCGGCCCGCAGCCGCACCCCCGCGACCCGUAGGGGGGCCCGAAGGGUCACGCGAGGGGGAGCGGCUGUAGCCAGAGUGCUCAUCGUCAUCCUCCGGAUCCUCGUGGCGGGAAGGGCGUGGACGGCGGUAGUGGGAGUCGUCGCGGUGGUCCGCACCGCCCCCGCCAAAGUGGCCAUCAGUGAGGUAUCGAGGGCGGCCGAUGUGGUUGGGAGGCUCAGGGUAGAUCUUGAGGUCGAAACCCUGGUCGUUGAAGAAGACCCGGACGGUGGCACGGAAGGUGGAGGAGUCAAGGCACUUGACCUUGACACGGACCUCCUCCUCCUUGAGGAGAGAGAGCUCGUCCACCACCACCACCUUGCCCAGGAGCUUGGACAUACUGCGGAUCACCUCCUCAGAGCAGGCGAUGUCGGGGAGGCCAGCUAUGACGAUCCAAGCAGUAUCCAACACGGCCACAACCUUAGGGUCCAACAGGGGCUCAGAGAUGUUGACAACGAGCUUGUUGAGGGCGAGGGUGAUGUCGUCGCUACGGGUGCAGAGGCCCAGGCUAAGAGCGUCGGGGAAGACCACGGUGAAGGAGCCGUUCGAGGUCGGAGUCACCUGCCAGUCGUAGACACGGCGGCAAAGGUGGUUGAGCUCGGCCUCGAUCAUCUCCGGAGAGGCGACCCCAGCCCCCACAAUGGUCACGACCGCAAGGAGUGACGAAGAUGGGGGGGGGACGUCCUCCACCUCGAUGUGGAAGAAGCCGAGACCCUCAAUGUCGUGGCCGUACAUCAUGAGCUACUCUGACAUCGGGCGAUCCGGGCAAAGAGCCACGGGGUGACCCGACUCCUUGUAGAGGUAGCACAUCGGCGGGUUGGGACACUCCACCUGGUAGUGACCGGCAAUGCCAGAGGAGGAUCGCGGGGGCCAUAGGAGACGGCCGCGGCCGAGGAUGCGGGAGUCGGGGCCGCGGAGUUGAGGGGGUGGUCGGGGCCCUUCCGCUUCNNNNNNNNNNNNNNNNNNNNNNNNNNNNNNNNNNNNNNNNNNNNNNNNNNNNNNNNNNNNNNNNNNNNNNNNNNNNNNNNNNNNNNNNNNNNNNNNNNNNNNNNNNNNNNNNNNNNNNNNNNNNNNNNNNNNNNNNNNNNNNNNNNNNNNNNNNNNNNNNNNNNNNNNNNNNNNNNNNNNNNNNNNNNNNNNNNNNNNNNNNNNNNNNNNNNNNNNNNNNNNNNNNNNNNNNNNNNNNNNNNNNNNNNNNNNNNNNNNNNNNNNNNNNNNNNNNNNNNNNNNNNNNNNNNNNNNNNNNNNNNNNNNNNNNNNNNNNNNNNNNNNNNNNNNNNNNNNNNNNNNNNNNNNNNNNNNNNNNNNNNNNNNNNAUGCGCUGGGGAGCGCCGGCCAUCCCGAGGGGAAGCACGAUGGCCAGGUGAGCGGCGGUCGCGGUCCGGGGAGCGACGCUCUGCGCGCGCCGGCGAGCGGCGGGUCUCACGGGCGGGGGACCGGCGGGAGGGAGGCCGGGAUGUGAGCUGCUGCCGGAGGUCGGCCUCAUGACGCAACCCGUCAGGGGAGGAACGGGGAGCGUCCCGGCGCUCGUCGCGGCCGCGCUUGGGCCGACCGGCGUGAUCGCCCCAGUUCCGGGCCAUGGCUGCAAGGGGAGGAGGGGGACGCUGCCGGAGCCGGAGACGAAGGGGCAGCCGCAAUCGCGGGGAGGGAAGGGGAUGGGUCGGGGCGGCGGGAGGGAGGCGCAAGGGAGGAGACCGGUUGGAUUAGGAACCCUAGGGUAGGCCAAAUGUGUGGCCUGGGUGGGCCCGCAACCACAGAUAGCCGCGACCCAAUACCGCCCGCACUCGCAGAGGGCCACACAGGCCGGCCCAUGGGAGGGCCCAAGAGUGACGGGCGGCCCAGCACCCGCGCGAGGAGGCAGGGUUUCCCAGCGCCGCCGGCGCCGGCGCCGGGGCAGGGCUGGGCGGGCGCGGCCGGAGGAGGGCACGAGAGGGCACCGGCGAACGGGGGAGGGGGGCGCCAAAGGCAGAUAUGGAAGGGCGAAAUGGCGAACGUCGCGACAUGACCGAGGACAGCGUCGGCCAUGCUAUGGCCGAGCUUGCGACCGGACCCGAGAGGGCACCAACGCACCACGACAGCCGAGCGGCGCCGUGGUCGGCGCGGCCCGUGACCCCCCAGCCCUGCAGCCGGCGACAGUGGCGGCGGCCCGACCCCAAUGUCGCCCCUUUACUCCCCGGCGACUGAGACGAGUUCAGCGUCCGGUGCCGGCGCCGGGCAGGCGGGCGGGCGGCCGAACUCCCACCCCUGGGAGUAAGGCCACCGGCGCCAUCCGGCCAUCGGGCACGGGCAGGAGCGGGAGGGGCGACGCGGUCGCGGCACACCACGGGGCGGCCGGCCUCGAUGUCAUCGGCCUCCGCUAGGUCAACCCAGAUGACCCGCGCGGGGGCAAGGGGCGACGGGGGGCGCGACGGGGAGGCGGGCGGCGAAGCCGCGGCGAGGAGGUCGGAGGAGGGAGGCGCGGCCGAGGGGGAGGGCGGAGGCGGCGUGGCAGGGGGAGACGCCGCGCCGGACGAGUCGCCCCUGGGAUCGCCAGCGCCGUCGCCAGAGCAGUCCGCCAUCAGGACCCGUCUCACUCCUUGGUCUAUUGCUCUAGUGCCCGCUCUGCUUCUUUUCUUGUUGUGGUAUAUAACCCCCAUUUGUGCUAUAUCGUCCCUGCUGUUCUUUGUUUAAUUCCAGCACUGCCUCUUGUACUAGAGCAUAUACAGUUGCAGUAUGAACUGUAAGAGGCAAUGAAUUUCAACAGCUGCUCUUAUAUCACCUUUCAAUCCAAGUACAAAUUGAGUAACCAAAAAUAUUUCACUGACAGACCCUUCAUAUAGUUUGACUUGGUACACAAGCUGAUUGAAAUUACUCGGAUAUUACUGAACAGUUCGAGUCUGUUUUAAAACCAACAGACCUCUCAUGCAAUCUCUAUGCACAUCGAGGUCAAAUUCCUGCAGCAUGGCCACAGAAAACUGACUCCAUGAUGAACAGUAAUCAGACAGUUUAUAUGACUGGUACCAGUGUGCAGCAUUUCCAUGUAAGUGCAGAGAUGCAGACAUUACUUUUAAGUUUUCAGGAGUUUGAUACAACAGGAAAUAAGCUUCAAUUAUCAAGUCAAAUUCGAAUUCCUUCCCCAUCAAACUGUGGAAAUUCCAUCUUAGGCAUCCAGGUGCGCGUGGAUCCAUGCUAGUCAGAGGAAGAAUUUUUUUGAGGUGUGUGUGAUACCUUUCCUGGAUCCACAGGAGGAAGCUGUCCAUGUUGCCCCCCUGCGAACAUGAACCCUUGGCUGCGUCGCCGCUGUGGGCGACACUGCAUAACAACCCUUCGCUGCCAUCCGCUCCAGAUCCGCGUCCUGAACACUGGUGGAUUCCUUUAACACUCGCGCCACAUGAACCUGUUCCUGAUGGAUCUCUCCAAUAGAGCUCACAAAUAUGUUUACUUCGGACUGCACCUGAUCCAGCCGAGCGACUUAUUCCUCAAACUUGUUGUCCAACCCAUCCAGUCGCGCCUUGAUUUCCAAAAUUCCUUCCACUUGCUCCUGCAGUAGCUGCAGAGCCGCAAAUGCCUGCGUUACGUUCUCCUCGAAUGACCCCAUCACCUCUACCUGGUGUCGUGUCUGAGCACUUGGCUUGAACGGCACCGUUGCAGCUUCCUCUGGAUUUCUCCAACGCCGAUCUCGGAUUUACAGCCAACCGCGUGAGCAAUCGACAACCGACCAGUCGAUGUUACGGAGAGAAUCUUGAGUAUGCGAAGCACAAGACGGACCUAUCUAGCUCUGAAUACCACUUGUCAUAUCCUUGCUGAGGAUUUCCUGCCCAGAUUUGGGAUCGAGAAGAGGAUACUUGGGAAGAAGAAGAAGAAACCACAGAAAUAGUAGGUAUGAGGAGAGAAAAUAUGAGCUAUUUCAUUUAGUCGCUGCCAAUUCCAGCCAACGGUCGUGCUUAUAUAUAGCUAAUAGAUUUUCACACACUCAGCCCCCAAAUGAACAUGACACUCGCAGAUGGCCCACUAGUUAUACAAAUAUUACCGAAAAAAGCUUUCGCCCCGCUUUAUAAAUAAAGCAACCACCAGAAGCACAAGGUCCAACAAAUGUUCACACCGCACAUGCACGCCAAAGUAGCAGACAACAAAGAAAGUAUAACAGAGGGUUCUGCUGAGGGCACAGCUCAACAAGCCCUAAAGAGAAAAUAAAAGGCGGCAACACAUUUCCCUUGGCGCUGCUCUCGACCGCCUUCAGCUUCCUCAUCCCUGGUUCUGCAGCCCUCAGGGCGACAGUACUGACAACCAUAAUUGGAAGGGUAUAAUCAAAUUGUAAUAUAUGUUCCCAUAAAAAGUAAGAGACAUGGAAAAUUGGUAGUUUUGAUCACCUUGCAGGUUGUUUUGUUAAGGUGGAAAAAUUGUAUCGGGUUCCUACCUGCACGCCUUGUUGAAUGCUAAACAGAAUCAUGUGCAUGGAUUAGUUUCCGCAAAAUAAUUCUACGUGUAUGGAUUGGUAGUUUGGACCAAUAUGGAACUGUGGCCAUGAUAUUGUCUUGAGAAUUAGGCAAAUAGUUAAUCCAUUAUGUGUUGAAUGUAGUGCAGCUGUAGCUCUUUUAUUCUCAUAUAGAAGUUCACCCUGAUGAUCGUCAAAAUUACUAUGAAUUCAAUUUUUCUGUGAAGAGACUUAUCUUUUUCACAAUCUAUUCCUGACCUGUCAAAAUAUUAUAUGUACUUCCGUAAAAUGGUUCGCAAGGUAUCAGAAUGAAAGUGAAGGGACUAAUUAGUGAAGUUGUAACUAACCACUAGAUUUUACUUAUUUCACAUUCUCUCUCUUUGCAUACAGAUGGCUAUGGGGCUCAAUUUUUCUAAAUUUGUUGGUUCCUGUGGUUAUCCUCAAGGAUAUUAAUUUCAGAUGGCUGAAGUGUUUUCUUUGACAGAGAAUGUGCUUCAGUAUUAGUGAGUGUCUACCUCUUUCCCAGUUAACCCUCUCUUGUCAUAGGAUUUCAUGAAAGAUAAUACCUUGCUGUGAAAAUUGUAGAAUGAUCAUGUUUUUUCUUUGUAUCCAGGGACUAAUCUAGGAUCUCUCAUGCCCGGGCUUGCCGACUACAUGAUGUCUUAUGUUAGAUGAUUAAUACGGUGAUUUUUAUGAAAAAACUAGCAUCUUACGCACCUUAAUUUGUGUUCUUCCUCGGCUUUCGAGAAGUUUCUGGGUCUGUCACUGUUUGCAUCCCUAUGAUUUUAAUGUUUUUAGAGACUCCCUAGAAAAUUUAAUGGUUAUUGAAUAAAAAUAAAAAGACCUAACCAUCUUAUUGGUGGACGCUAGUUUUAAUGGCUUGAAUUUAAUCUGGACUACUAAUCUACAAGAAAAUAAGAGGCCGUAUGUAAAAUAAGGAGGUUGAUAUAAUUUGGUGUGAUAAAGUUACUAGAAUUAUGUAAUUUGGUACGUUCUGACAUUGGUUUACUAAAUUAUAGUAUUUGUUCUCAGCAGUGCACUGUUGUUCUUUAGGCUCAGACAAUAUUGACAGAAUAAAGUUCAUUUAGUUUGAUUUAUAUUGCAAUUAAGAAGGAUGUUGGAUUUGCCAACCAAUGUUGCUGGGAUGUAGAUUUAUGUUUUUACCACCAUAUGGUCCAUUUUAUGGUAUAAAGUUUUUUAGUUGUCUAAAUUUCUCAAGUGUAUUUUAUGUUGGCUUAAUAAGGUUUGUUACAGCAAAUGUGAUCCUUUUGUAAUAUCAGUAUGUGAAUUUUUUUCUAUUUAAAUUUUCCAUUGUAUAAGCAUACCUACUCAUUUAGUUUACAUCAGACAUUUCUACCCUGACUAUGGGCUGCUUAAACUAACAUGAGUUUCCUUCCUACAAAUCUUUAUAUAUUGAAGUGUUUUUAGCACAUUAUUUGUUUAUAAUAACUGUGGGCAUGUACUGGCGAAGAAUUUGCAAAGGAUAACAACAUAUAUUGAUACUGAUAUACGGAGUAGAAUUUACUUAGCUUCUAUCCAUUUCCCUUAUUCAGCCACCCGUAUCACAUUCUUAUGAGUAAGCAUGGUUUGUAAAUACAAGUGUUCACAAAAAUAUUAAUGAUCGUGUCGUUUUUCAGGAAUUGCAAUGGACCAAAUUGUUGCCCAAGGCCUGGAUUCGAAACAUGCAGCUGUAAUGCUAAUCAAUCAUACCCAUUGCUUAUCAGUCGUAAUCAAUUCCUGCUUUUUCAACUUUCUCUUUUUUGGAAAAAGCGGAAGCAUUAUCGGCCAACUGAAAAGAGUAUGUUAUAAGUACAAUGAAAUCUGGGAAAAGAACUAUGGUAAUUCUUUCUCUUCUAUUUGACCUCCAUUUGUUCUGUCAUACAAUCUAACUCACAACAAAUUGGAGGAAAGUAAUUUAUUUUUCCCUAAAUUUAUUUCUAUAAGCAAGAAUUUCAUCCGCUUUAAAAAUAACUAUUUUAAAACAUAUGCCUAACUUUUCUUCAACAUUUCUAUUACUCCCUCAGUCCCUUUUUAUAAAAGUUAAACUUUUUUCUUAUCUUUGGCCAGUUUAUAGAAAAACUACCAAUAUGUACAAUAUUAAUUAAAUGAAAUAUUAAAAUAAAUUUCAUGAUGGAUCUAGCGAUACUGAUUUUGUGUUGUAGAUAUGAUAUUUUUCUAGAAACUCAUCAAAUAUAGAAAGGUCUCACUUUUGAAAAAUUAACACACUUCACAAAAAUGUACCGAGUGAGUAAUAAAAAAUAAACCGAGUGAGUACUUAUUUGUAGCCCUAUUUUUUACGGAAAUAUUUUAGAUAUUUUGUGAGCUUGUUAAUUAAAUUUGCCAUCCCGUGCACCUGCACGGGUUGACUACUGUGUCGGGGAAAAUAAGUCGUGAUGCCCAGCCUUCCCAUGCAGAUGGGAGACGACGACACAGCCGCCGCUCUUUUCCCCUUCCCAAACCCUAGAGUUCGAGGCACUGAUCCCCAAGCCAAGGAUUUGAUGCCGCCAGGAGGAGGUGAGCAUGGCUGCACGGAGCAGGACCACUCAUUGGCGACCGGUCGCCGUGACGAAGGCGCUCCGUCCCAUCCUAUGCCGCCGCCUCCCCUCAUUGUUCCCGUAGCUUCUGAGGUUUGUUCUUCGCCUGUUUCUUGUUCCAAUCUUUGACAUGAAAGGGAACCCGCUCGGGCGACUCGGGCGGAGCCCCAAAUCCCUAGCCGACAGGGUCGCCACACCUCCUGUCCACCCCUUUUGUCGCUGCUAGAGGAAGCUGUCGGGCGAAGCCCUGGUGGCUGAUUGGGUGGUGCGGGCACCCAAGGGCGCGGGGGCACAUCCCUCGGAUCUAGGUCACGGUGGAGUGAGGCGGUGUGGUGGUGGUGGGUGGAUGCGGCGGAGCCGCAAGGGCACCGUGGGAUGGCUGGUGGUUCGGCUGUGCUGGUGUCCCGCAGGGCCCAGUGGGGACCGGGUGGUUCGAGAUCGGGGGCGGGCGCCUCCGUGGUCUUCGGUCAGAUCCGCUCGGAUCUGUCCUCUGGGCGUCGGCGUGCGGUGUGAGGUCUUGGCAGCGGCCAUGUUGGCAACUGCGUGGGUGUGGGCUGCGACGGCGUGGUGGCGGUCCAUGGUGGUGGGGCGGGUCGGUUAGGGCGGCUGCGGGACAUGCUCCGGCGUCUGGCCGUUGGUGAGCUACUCUUGUGGAGGUCCCUAGGUCCUCUUGUGGCGACAUGGUGUGGCCGUUCGGGAACCUCCCGUNNNNNNNNNNNNNNNNNNNNNNNNNNNNNNNNNNNNNNNNNNNNNNNNNNNNNNNNNNNNNNNNNNNNNNNNNNNNNNNNNNNNNNNNNNNNNNNNNNNNNNNNNNNNNNNNNNNNNNNNNNNNNNNNNNNNNNNNNNNNNNNNNNNNNNNNNNNNNNNNNNNNNNNNNNNNNNNNNNNNNNNNNNNNNNNNNNNNNNNNNNNNNNNNNNNNNNNNNNNNNNNNNNNNNNNNNNNNNNNNNNNNNNNNNNNNNNNNNNNNNNNNNNNNNNNNNNNNNNNNNNNNNNNNNNNNNNNNNNNNNNNNNNNNNNNNNNNNNNNNNNNNNNNNNNNNNNNNNNNNNNNNNNCCAAUGCGGUCGGGCCACCCAUCACCGGCAGGGGUGCCGGUCGUCGACGUGGUCCGCUCCCGCUUCACCUCUUCUCCGACUUGGUGGCUCCUCGAUCGAUCUGGUCGUUCUGGUCGCUGGCGGCUUUGUCGGCGGUCAGAGUUUGCCAAUCGGCACAUCGUUGGCAGCCAUGGAGGACCCAUGGGGCGUCUUGUUCCCUGGGCGGCGGCCCAAAUGGUGGGAGCUCCUGCGAUGCUCGUGGGCUGAGCUCGUGGCUCAGGUGCAGGCGACUAGCGUCCAUGGCCGUGUGGGCGGCGUGGUGGCUGGUGUUUUGACGUUCUGUGACGGCGAAGGCGGCAUUGCUGCGGUGGCCUUGUUCUCUGCAAAUACUGGGAAUCAUAUUGUUUUGAGGAAGAUGAGUACAAUCUUGUCGUGUGCAAUCCUGCGACCAAGAAGUGGGCCGAGCUGCCUCCUAAUCCUAUACAAUUGCAAGACGAAGACGAAGAAUAUUUGUGUUUCGAUCCAGCCGUCCCCUCCCGUUUCAUGGUAUUCACACACACUUGGGAUUUCACAGAAGUGACAAUCUACUCAUCAGACACUGGACGAUGGACUACGGUGGAGAGUGGUUGGAUUGAUAAGACUCCUAUUGGUCUUCCUGUCUUCCUGAAUGGUACUUUGCAUUUGAUGACCACUGAAUAUUCAAUAGUCACAGUAGACACAGAGGGGAAGGUUUGGGGGCAAAUUGAUAUUCCAGGCAACAUGCGAGACAGCUCUGAUUAUCCGUUCAUUGGACAGUCUCAGGAACGAUUGUAUGCUUGGUGUAUAAAUGAUAAUGUUGAUGUUUGCCAACUUUUAGUUUGGGCUCUUGAGGAUUAUGGUGGUGCAAAGUGGGCCUUGAAGGAUACUGUUAACGUUUCAGAACUGUUUGGAAGGGAUCGUUACAAAUAUGUGGAGCCCUUAGCAAUUCAUCCAGAUUGUGAUUUGAUUUUCCUUACCGACCAGAGGGGGAAGGCUAUCUCAUAUGAUAUGGACAGCAAGAAAGUGCAUGUUAUCGGCACUCACGAAACAUUCUAUGGUGCUAUACCUUAUGUUCCAUGUUUUGCGGAAUGGCCGUCAGAUGGUCACUGACCUUGGUGGAACUAUAUAUUGUCUUCAUAGAAUUCAGCCAUGGAGAAUAUGCAACACCUAGCAACAGCUUCCAGUGGCUAAUGCUUAGUUGUAUGAAUGAGUCUAGGUAUUUGAUAUAUCGGCUGCCUCUAGUGCUAAUCAUUAUGGUCACCUGUUAGCUCUUGGUAUGGGGUAACUGUGAGGGUAUAUUAUCUAUUUUUGAAAUUGGUUGGAUUUUCACCUCUUUAUUUUCCGUUUAAGAUUGGAGAUGCUUAUCUCUUGUUGCAACUUGCAAGUACAUUUAUCUUUUAUGGACAACUUGUUAUCCAUCAGUUCUGAAUAUUGAUAUCGCCUUGUUCUUAUGCACAUGUUAAAGACUGGAGAUGCCUAUCUCUUGUACGUUUAUUAUUCUUCCAUUUUAUUUCACUUCAUUAGGGGAAGAGGAUUU